Molecule: long non-coding RNA, 77665 nt
Filed under: Olea europaea (common olive)
Lineage: Eukaryota; Viridiplantae; Streptophyta; Magnoliopsida; Lamiales; Oleaceae
Description: long non-coding RNA (OEUR_LNC003743)
Source: RNAcentral
CAUUUGAUUUCGGUUUGUCUCAGAUUUCUCAAAAAUGGCUGAAUUUACAUACAUACAUAUUAGAAGAGGCGUGUGGGGUCAGCUUCAAAAACAUGAUAGUGUUUUCCAGAGGUUUGGUAUAAAAUAGUUGUUGUGCCUUAUUGAAAAAGGAUAAAAAUAAUAAAACAAUAUAUUUUGUCUUCCAAUUAUUUUGCUGAGAUUAAAAGCUAUCCAACGGUCCAAUUAAUCUUAAGCUGUAAGUUCUGUUAUUUUCUACAACACUUGCACCGUGUUUGCCUGAGUUAUUUCAACUUGUCAGUAACUUAACCUUAAAAAUAAUUUUCUAAAUGGCGUUUUGAAACUGCUCAAGGUUCAGUUAAGUCACAUCAGCUGUGCCCGUCUACAUACGCGUGAUCUCAAUAAUUCAUUCUUCAUGGAGUUUUGUCAAACCGGUACCUUUGGUCUCAACUGCGGAUGUAUUUUUGAGUGGUUUAAAUUUCAUAUACGGUCAUUGAACUUUACUGAAAUUUCAAUUGGGUCNNNNNNNNNNNNNNNNNNNNNNNNNNNNNNNNNNNNNNNNNNNNNNNNNNNNNNNNNNNNNNNNNNNNNNNNNNNNNNNNNNNNNNNNNNNNNNNNNNNNNNNNNNNNNNNNNNNNNNNNNNNNNNNNNNNNNNNNNNNNNNNNNNNNNNNNNNNNNNNNNNNNNNNNNNNNNNNNNNNNNNNNNNNNNNNNNNNNNNNNNNNNNNNNNNNNNNNNNNNNNNNNNNNNNNNNNNNNNNNNNNNNNNNNNNNNNNNNNNNNNNNNNNNNNNNNNNNNNNNNNNNNNNNNNNNNNNNNNNNNNNNNNNNNNNNNNNNNNNNNNNNNNNNNNNNNNNNNNNNNNNNNNNNNNNNNNNNNNNNNNNNNNNNNNNNNNNNNNNNNNNNNNNNNNNNNNNNNNNNNNNNNNNNNNNNNNNNNNNNNNNNNNNNNNNNNNNNNNNNNNNNNNNNNNNNNNNNNNNNNNNNNNNNNNNNNNNNNNNNNNNNNNNNNNNNNNNNNNNNNNNNNNNNNNNNNNNNNNNNNNNNNNNNNNNNNNNNNNNNNNNNNNNNNNNNNNNNNNNNNNNNNNNNNNNNNNNNNNNNNNNNNNNNNNNNNNNNNNNNNNNNNNNNNNNNNNNNNNNNNNNNNNNNNNNNNNNNNNNNNNNNNNNNNNNNNNNNNNNNNNNNNNNNNNNNNNNNNNNNNNNNNNNNNNNNNNNNNNNNNNNNNNNNNNNNNNNNNNNNNNNNNNNNNNNNNNNNNNNNNNNNNNNNNNNNNNNNNNNNNNNNNNNNNNNNNNNNNNNNNNNNNNNNNNNNNNNNNNNNNNNNNNNNNNNNNNNNNNNNNNNNNNNNNNNNNNNNNNNNNNNNNNNNNNNNNNNNNNNNNNNNNNNNNNNNNNNNNNNNNNNNNNNNNNNNNNNNNNNNNNNNNNNNNNNNNNNNNNNNNNNNNNNNNNNNNNNNNNNNNNNNUUUGGUCUCAACUGCGGAUGUAUUUUUGAGUGGUUUAAAUUUCAUAUACGGUCAUUGAACUUUACUGAAAUUUCAAUUGGGUCCAUAGAACUUUAGUUUGUCUCGGUUAAAUCAUUGAACUUCAAUUUAAUUUUUAAAUUCAUUUGUAAUCAGGGUUAAAUUAAAAACAAAACAAACUCCAAUAUUUCCCAUAAAAAGGUAUUCCAAAAUUAAGACAAAAUUCACAAAAGAAAAAAAGAAGAAGAAAAAAACGUGUAUAGGAACUGUAAGUAUUAUGCCUUAAAUCAAAUCAAUUUUGAACUUUUAAAAUAUAAUUGAUACAAUUUUAUGACAAUUAAUAUUCAAUUAAAUUAAAUAAUAGAGUCCGUAAAUUCAAAUUUUAGUAAUUUGCUAAUUACAAAGAGUUGUGAUUGUAAUAUACAAAUUACUUAUAAUUGAAUUUUAAAUCAUCCAUGGUCAUAAAUAAUAAUGAGAUACUGAUAUCGUUAUUACGAAUAGAUCAUCACGUAUGACAUUUCUUACUUGUUAAGCAAGUAACUGAUCUCACAAACUAAAACUUGGUGACACUUAAAUGAACACAUGGAUGUUUUGUUCUAAAAUAAAACAUUGAAGAUCCGCUGGGGAGAUUCCACAUAGAUAACUGUUUGAGUGUUAAUAAUUAAUCUCUAAUAUUCCGUAGUGAAAUUUGUCAUUUGACUUGAGGUUAUUAUAGUGUCUUAUAUGAUGACAGUCAUACUUUGGUGAUAUUAGAUGUUGAUUUGUCAAUGACUGUUAAUACGGUAUUGUUCGGGUAUGUCAAGAAUGAUAUGAAGGUUGUAAAUGAUCAAUAGAUGUUUUAUCACUCUUAGAUAGUAAGAAAUUAUGAUCUAUAUUUCAUUCAAUUAAGUUGAUAACGAAAUUCUUAGUCAAAAUGUAUACAUAAGUCGAAAAGGAAUUUUCAACUUAUAUUAAAUUAUAGUGGAAUGAAACACAUAUUCAUAUCUCGUAAUUGAUCGGAUCAUAUUGACGAAUGGAUUAUAAUUUAAUGGUAAACGAACAAAUUUGGUUUUGUCAAAUCACGUGACAUUUCCAAUCACAUGUAUUACCUUAGUAAAUUGCUAGGUAUCAAUUUGGGACGACGAAUGUGAAUUGUUUAUAAAUUAAAAAGUGAUAUUUUAAUUUAUUGAUUUUGAUUAAAUCAAAAUAAUAAUUCAUGUUAUUAGGUAUCGUAUUGAGGACCUUAUAGUCGCACAAUUAAUUAUUUGGAUUGCUUAUUAAUAGACCCAAUGGAUCAAAUUUAAUUAACUGAAUUAAUUAAAUAUUUAACCAGAUUAAUUUUGAGUGGUGAGCUAAGUCCACUUAGACGUAUAUUAAUAGGUUAUUAGGGUUUUAAAAAUCUGUAGAGAAUACAAUUUCACAUUCUUGCUAACAAAAUAAAAAUAAAAAUCAUAGUUCUCUCAAUCUUGUUCCUCGUGAGAAUUUUUAUUGAAGGCUGAAUAAUUUGACAGCUAUGGAUUACAGAUUGUGAUUGUUCAAGUUCAAAAAAAACAAAGAAAUUUAUAGAAUUCAACAAAAAUAUAAGUUCUAUCACAUUUUCUAUCUAAACACAAAGCGUAUCAUUGUUUGGAAUUGAAAUUAUUUUAUUUCUGCAUGGCACAAUACUAAACAAGUGUAAGCAAUUUACCUUGCAUGGGAUGACAUAAAUUCAUGUUCGUUGAAUGCCCUCCAUUCAAUUUAGCCUCGAAAAUAGGGAUGGCAACGGUUCGGUUUUGGUUCAGUUCAGCCAAAACCAUCACCGAAUCAUCAAAUUUUUUGUCAUACUACAAUCGCACUAUAACCACGUAAAUCGGUUCGGUUUGUAUCUUGGUUCAACUCGGCUUGAUUCGGUUAGUAACCACAAAAAUAAAUUAUUUUUUAUAGGUCCAUUCGUCAAAUUGAUAUAAAACAAUUUAUGAAAAGAAAGUCAAUGAAAACAAAAACAUAAUGUCCUUGUCGGAGCCCCAUUUUUUCCAAAAAAAAAAUACAUUCUUAAACAAUGUUUUGACAUCAUUUAAACCACACAUUUUUCAAUAAAAUAAUAUUACACGUAAAUCCAAGACUUUUCUUUAUUUUUUAACCACAUAUUUCCCAUCAAUAUACUAUUCAAAAAUUCAUUUUCUCCACCAAAAUGGGGCUCAAACAAGGGUAAUAUUCCACAUGAAAAUGCAAUCAUGAUCCCAAAUUCCAAUUGUAAAAUACAAAUUUAACAAACAAUAUUAUGAAUAUAACAAUACUAAAUAUUUCAUUCAUUUUUGAUUCUUGUGCAUUGUAGUUAUUUGAUUCAUGCUUAAUAAUUCAAAAUCUUCAACCUUAACUCAUAUUCAAUUUUUAUUCUUUCCCACAACUCUAACUAGCAUAGAACAGUACUCAAAAUUGAUUCCUAUAUAGUAAAUAAGAAAUGUAAGUAGAGAAUACAACGAUAUUACCUAAUCCAGAAUGAUUUUAACUAAGAUUUAAAUAAAAAAAUAUAUCUCUUUGUCAACUUUCUUAUUACGAAACCUUGUCACCCCAAAUAAAAGAAUGAUUUUUUUUUAAGCGGGUAAUUAGUUCAAUUUCAAUUUGACAGCAUAAAUACCAUACAUGCAUCACCACGAACCGAUUCAUUAAAAUCAAAUACCAUAUUCGCCUCAUUGCACCAUCGGUUCGAUUUUUUUCGCUCCAUUCGAUUCGGUUAACCGCGAUUUUCGAUUUUAACAGUUCAAAUUGCCAUCUAUACUCGAAAAUGCCCUUAAAUACCCCAUCCUUCUCAACAUUCAUUCACAUUUUGUUCUAUCUAUCAUAUUUAUGUGAUAUAUAUGGCAAAUUGUACGUAAUUAUAACACUCUUAGCCUUGUAGAAGUGUUGAUGAUCAGAAAAACUUCAUUUGUUACGUCGACGUGGGCGACUGCUUCUGUAUUGGUUGCAUUUUCUGGGGUGUGGCAGUGCUACCAAUUCUUGGUGGUGUUGAAGGAAUCGGUGGAGCCGAUGGCCUUGGAGGUGUUGGAGCCUCAUUUUUGCCUUUGACACCCACGUGUAGGAUUUUUUUUUUGUUUUUCAACGGAGCCUACAUGUUGAUCGCAGUUGCUCAUUGGGUGCUGGCUCCUCUACUGCUUGUCGUUACUCCACCUCCAAACUGAUGAAAGAUACUUAGUUGGCAACAACAUAAUAGUUAAUCUUAACGUAAUCGCUAUACCUCGCAAUAGAAAUUAAAAUAGUAAACUGAAGGUUACUACAAUGUCUUUAGAUUAAAAGGUUUUUCUCUAAUAUAUUUUAUCACUUUUAUGACAUGUCAUAAUAGUAAAUUGACAUGUCACACAACGAUUACAUGAAAGAUAUAGUGCAGUCUAACUACAAAUUAUGCAAUUUUAUCAAUUUGAAAUACAAUAAGCGAUGGAGUAGUAAAAUUUGAAGCUAAAUAUGAGAUACACAUGGCGGUGUUGAUCGGUACAAUAAUUAUUAAUUAUUCAAUAAGUUUUGUAUUUAUUUAUUCUGCGAGUUAGAUGUAAGUGCAACACCUAAACCUAACUUUCAACAAAUGUAUCUAGCUUUUCUUAAUUAGUUCCAUAAAUAACAUUAAGGAAACAUUAAUCAAUCAAUCAUACUUAUUAUAGUAACAUGCAUUAAAUAAAUUUAGUAACACUUGAACCCCAAAGACUUCGAGACGUCCCAUUAUGUUUUGUAUAUUGACUUUGACUUUCUCACAAUUGGAGCAAUAAUAUAGUGCAAAUGGCUCCAACAAUCACAAUUAACACACACCAUAUAGUUUUUGACAAAUAUAUUCAAUAAAUGACGUAAUAAUCUUUAUUUAUUAUAGUAGUUGACGAUAAUAUGUUAACGUGUGUAAAAUUGUCCAUCAAUCAAGGUUGAUUGUUGUGCUUGUUCAAGUAGGUUACCAAAAGAUACUCAAAUAAGAGAAAUAUAUAAUACAUAAAAUCAUUUCGACUUUCGCACUCAAUGCAACUUUGAUGAGGUCGACAUUAUGAUACAAGUUGUCGCAUCUACAAUUAUUUUUGUAGCUCAAACAAAGAAAAUGAUCAAAGUGACAUUGCAAUAAAAAGAAGAACGCCAACACUUGCUCUCUCAAAUGCAUCGAUUAAUUCAGUAUAUUGACGACCCAAGGCUUAGCGUCUCGAGUGUCACAAAGCAUGCUUGCUUGGAAGCUAAAUUUGCAAUCCCUUUUUCCUUAAAGAGUUAAAAACUACUCUUUAAUUUUAAAGCUAGUGCAAAAGACGAGAAUUGACUCUCAAAAUAAUUAUCUAAACUCAAAUUUAUUGAUCUUUAUUAAUCACCUAACCGAAUUAUACAACAUAUUUAUGACAUACAGCACAGGCAGUUUCAAUAUUGACCAACCAUUUAAGAGAUAACGAUGUGUAAAAGGGUGAAAUACAGCUAAACAACACGUUGCAACUUAAAAUUCCAUAGUUAUGACAUGCAAUAAUGCUAAGCAAAAAGUUGUAACAUAACAUCUUCACGUUACAACAUAAUAUAACAUGAACAUACUCGCUAAACGAUUAAAAAAUAAUAGUAAUCCUAAAAUAGCAAAUUUUAUUCCCUUUAUAUAUCUUCUUGAUUCAUUCCACUUUGUAACUUUCCGAUGCAUCAUCCAUUCAUCGCAACUACUCAUUUCAAGCCAUUACUUGAAAUGUUAUAGGAAAGAUGAGUCUAAAAGAACUACACUACAUGAGAUAUAUGGUCAUUAAUUUCUAGUAGUAAUAAAAACCUCAUUAGUUUACCUAAAUUAUUCUUAUAAACAUUAAAGUCGAAAAAUCCAUGCCGCCACUGGCAUACAAUUAAUUAUAAUUAUAAUUACACACUUCACGUAUUCAUAACUUUUUAACCACACAUUCUAUCAAUUUUUAUAAAAAAAUAUUGAAAACCUUAUUUUUAUUUAAACCAAACAAGGUUAUGUAUGAAUACUUGCUUACAGUGGACUUCCUUCUUGAAAAGUGUAUGAAUGCUUGCAGGGGCGAAUCCAGAACUUCGACUAAGUUAGAACGGCCGUUGAUCGUUGAUCGUUGACUGUCGAUAGUUGACGGCUAUAUAACGAUAUCGUUUAUUAAUAUUAAAUAAAAUAAUAUUAAAAAUUCUUCGAUUUACAUGUAAAUACACUAAAACAUAAAAAUCGUAUAUUUAUAUCAUAUUAUAUUUCAACGCAAUUCGAAAUAAUAUGAAUUACAUAAUACAUAAAACUUCUUUGUGUUAUCAAUACUUAACAAAUCGUUUGCUUGACUAAAAGUAGUUGAGAAAUUAGAUACACCACUACAAGAACUAGAUUGAGAUUCAGUUGAAAAAAUCAUUUCAUAAUUAGUAUGAUAAUUGAACAUUAAUCAAAGAUUAAAUAUAAUUAAAAUUAAUUUUAAAAUAUAAUUAAAGUUUCAAUUUCCAAUUCUCAACACCAAUUUAUCACAAAUUAUAAAUUUCCCAAUUUCUCAUUUUCAAUCUUCAUAAAUCACAUAUUCACAUUUCACGAUACUCAAAUUAAUUUUUAAUAUCACAAUUCAUAAUAGACAAAUUCUCAAAUAAUAUAUAAAUUAAAACUCAAUACUCAUAAAUCAAAUCUUAUAAAUUAUUAAAGCAUAAAAUAUUUGAAACGAGAAAAACCAAUAAAAAAAAUAGUCAUUGACUUGCCUAGAGUCUUAACAUAUAUUAUUUUGUUAAACUUAGAUUCAAAAUUCAACCAUUGCCAUGAUAGUUAAACUUCCAAUCAUCUAAAUUAAAAGUUAUUGGUUCGAAUCUUUUCCUUAGGGAAUUAAUUUUGGUAAAUAUUGUAGAAAUAAAAAUUUUGCGCAAUGAAAUGGACGGGAAGGAAUUGAACCCAAGACUUGUAAUAUAAAAAUGCAAACUCUAACCAACUAAGUAAAAGAGGGGUUUGAAAAUAAAAUGAACUACUAGUUAUAUAACCUGAAAUUUUUAUCUAUUAUAUAAAAAAAUAAAAAAUAAAUUUUUCUCAGAUGAAUCCAGUUAGGACGGCCAACCCUUAAAUCCACCACUAAAUGCUUGUUUGAAAUAGAUGCACUUUCCUAAUUUUCUCUCUUUGAAAGUAGUGUGCGUGAGAAUUUAUGGAGAAUUUUAAAUGUGUGGAAAUGGAGUGUAAAUAUCAAUGUUCUCAAAAGUGUAUCUACGCUAAGGGCUAGGGCAAGGCGAAAAAAUGAUGGUCAACCUGGUCAACGUAGGGUUGACCAUCUGGUGUGUAGUAAAUGUUCCUUUAUCUCCCAUUAGUUUCUUGGAACGAGCUGCAAAAGUUUACAAAGAUAGAACGUUAGUUGAGUAUGGUUCUAUUAAGUAUUCUUGGGAAAGACUUGCAUAAGGUGUGUUAAGCUGGCUUUUGCCUUGACCCAGCUCAGGAUUUCUCGGGAUGAUAUUGUAAGUUUCCAUAGAUUGGGCAUUUCUUGUUUCACUAUCAAUUAUAAUCUCCAUUUUUGUUUUUCUGUUUCAUUCACUUAGUUUCUUCAUAUUUUAUGCGUCUUUGACUGCAACUUUUGCUGGCUAAUGCUUCUCCUUUCAUUUAGACAGUGAUAUUUCAUUCAAAUUUCAUGGGAUCGAUAUAAAUAAAAAUACAAGAUGGUAGGUUUUAUUGAUUUUAUCACUUUAUCUAGACAUUAUAGAAGAUUUCAGUGAACAUGACCGAAAAUUUCUUUAUCGUUCAGAGCUUCUAUGGAAAGAGACUCGGGAUUAGGCAGGUCAAUUUUCCAUUUAAAGCCUGAAGGUGAUGAGUGUGGUUCACUCAUUACAUUAAUGCUACUAAAUCUUGAUAUUUCAUUUGAUUCGUAGAGUUUUAGGACAUUUUAAUUUGUGUUUCAUGUUGUUUUAUAGCUUAGGUAAAUUGGUGUGAAUGGUAUAAAACUUGAAGAAAAUAUUGAUGUUGGCAUGAAUCAAGGAUGUUAGGUCCAAUAUUGUAAUUGGCAAUUCUAUGAACAAAAUGGACUAAAUCGAUCACUUGUAAAAGUCAAGAACUUAGUUGCAAUUUUGAAUAGUUCAGGUAAGUUCGAGUCAUUGAAGGAGUCCAAGAUGUUCAAAAAGAUUACAUAUGACCAUUGGAACGUAAUUAGAAGUUUAAAGGAUAUCAAAGAGCUGCACAAGUUAUAUUCCAAAUUCUCAGUCGUAAUUUGCAAUGCAUUUUUCACAUAGAAAACAUUGGAAUUUGGACAAGGAUAUUCUAAAAGAAUUGUAUCCUUUGAGUUAGCUUUCUAAUGCACGUUGAAUCACCUCAAUCGAAUAUCAGGAGAGAAAGUUAUGGUGAAAAUACUGACGACUGCUCAGCUAUCGUUCGAUUCACGUUGACUUUUUGCUUGAGCAAAAAAUCAGAAUGGCUCUCACUCGAUUCUUGCUAGAUUGCUCGAGUGACAUUCUUAUGCUGCAAAACCCCUAGUUCACAUUUUAAGUGUUUUACUCAGCCCAUACCACCAAAAUACCUUCAAAUAUAAAUACCUACGACCUAGCAUGAAUUUUUGUGUGAUUGUUCAUUGUGCCUCUAUUAGAAAACAUAUUCUUAUCAUUUUUUGAAGAUCCAAGAGCAUGUCCAAGCAUUGAUUCAUUUUAUUUGUUCUUAAGAUCCAACAACCACAUAUUAGGGAAAACAUUAAAGGUCCGAUAAUUUAAAACACAUAUCUUCCUUAAUUAUUUGACGAAGCGACUCUCUCAUUGGGGUAUUAAGAGAGGUGGAUUUAAGAGCAUUUACAAGCACAAGAACAGACGGUUCUUGGUGGUCCACUUUGGAAAAACAUUCAGUAUAGACGAGGAGACGGUAGAUUGGGCUGCGGGUGGUAGACUUGGAAGUCUAAGAGGAGAUUAGAGGAAUCUACGGUAGUAGGAGGCUGCAGGAGGUAGAUCAGGAGUUCUAGCACUAAAGGUGUCUACAACAGUAGAUUGUAAGGCUGUGGUAGUGGGUCUUAACAGGUACAAGGAUAGGCUUGUCAUUGUAUACUCUGAAUUGUCUAUAGAAGAGGUAACUAUUUUGGUUUCGAAAUUUUACCCACGUUGGGGUUUUUUCGUCAUCGUAUCUUGCGUUAUUUAUUACUUUUCACUAUAUUAUAACUGCAGCAUUCAAACAUAGGAUAAUUGAAUUGUUUGUUUAACCACCUAGACAUCUAAUUAAAGUAACUUUUUGCUUUAGUUAGUUUAUUUCGUACGUAAGAUCGAAUAAUUUAUAAUCUGGAACGUAAACUCGAUAAAUCCUAAAACUUGUGUUGGUAUUAGACCGUUCUAGAUUCUUUCAAACGAGAAGUUGAUGUUAAUUUGGUGAAAUUUGAUUUAGGAUGAACUUAUAAUCAUGGAAUCGACUCGAUCAUCAGAUUAUAAGUUCAUAACCCUAGCCCAUUCCCAUUUUGGUCGGAAACUAAGCUCCCACUCACGACCCAUGUAACAAGCUUUGAGGACUCAAUUGCAACUUUUAGUAGUUGAUUCGGACCACAAAAUAAUAACUGAAGAUUGUUAUGAGUCAUCUGAAUGCAAAUAGAAGUAAAACAAAAGUGAAAUAUGAUCAAAAUAUUUUCAGAAGUACGUUUAAAAUUUUUAACUGGAGAUUUAGACCAAUUUUUGACCUGGAAAACGUUAUAAUUGGAAAAGGUCAUCAGAAAUAAAGUUGUUGCCCUUGGAGUUUUCUUUUCAAUGCAUUUUGAAUCACCUCAAUCGGAUAUUGAAAGAAGAAGUUGUAAUAAAAUACUGAAAGAUGCGCAGUGCUGUUUUUUUACCCUGAAAGUCGGUGUUGUAGCGCCACUAAUGCUAAAAAUCAACAGCAUCGUGGUGCCGCAACGUUGCCAGCAUGAGAAAAAGAAUUUUAAAUUUUUGAACUAUUUUUUUGGCCCAAUUCAACCCUAACUCUUCCAAGAUUUCAUGAUAAUAUAAAUACAGCCUUAAAGACCACUUUUCAACUACAAUUCAAUCUCACAAGAAGCAAGCAAUCAUUAAGAAAUCAAGAACAACAUCGCAAAGGAUAUUGAAUAUCUACCAAAACUAAUUUUUCUAUUAUUUUCUCUAUGUUGUUUAUUUGAAUUUCAUUAUUUCUAAAGCUUCUAUCAUGAACUAAACAUCUAAUCUAGGGUUUGAUGUACUGAAAACUUGAGGAUAUGAUUUUAUUUUAUUUUAGUUAUUUUUAUAAAAUAUACAUUUCCGUUUAUUUGUGUUAUUGAUUUAAUGCUUUUAGUUGAUUGGUUACUAAUUGAAUGAUUAGAUGCUAGUCAAUUUCGGCACUCAAGAGAUGAAAAUUUAGGCGCGGUCAUAACAAUAACAAGAUUUUACAGAUUUCGAUAGAAAGUUUAGAAUCUAUGAAAGUUAUUCCAUCAAAGAACCAUGAUUUUGAUAAAUUUUGAUUUUAAUUUGGAACAGAGAUAUUGGAAUUAAUUUCUAGGAUUAAUUUGUUGGACCCUGAGGGAUCGUAAUGAAUUAGAUUAAUGACACAAUAUGAAGUAAUAAAAAUCAAAACAAGAAAUAAAAUUAAAAGUAAAGAACAAAGAGAGUUAAUCGCAGAAAAACGAUGUGUAUUAACUGACAAUAUGGAGAAAAUUUACAAAUACAACAAUAAUGCAUAAACAAAAUUGAUAGAGGAACUUUGUAUUUAUAGGCUACGUUCCAAACCCUAGAAGGGUUCUAAAAGGUAAGAAAAUCUAUUAAAAUUAGGUUAUAAUUACGGAUAGAACUUUGACUGAGAGAGGAUUUCCUUUCCUUAUUCAACUUGCAUACAACCUUCCUUUCCAAGUAAAAACUAAAUACACAAUCUUACAAGAUUUCUAACCAUAUUUGAGUCACAAAACCUAACAAUCUCCAUCUUGACUCAAAUUGGGUGCAAUGGCAGAGCUCCACAAAAUUUCUCCACAUGAGAAAUAAACCCUUUUGCAUCGAAAUGAAAUGGCCAAUCUCCUCAACGAAGUAACCAAAAGUUUUAAUAUAAACCAUUAUCCUCUACACGGCAUCCAUAAGCGACACCUGAACCCUACUCUCGGGUUCCCAAAAUUCUACCAAGGAAUUAAUGUUUACCAAAAAGGGUCGAAACACACCUUGAGCAGAAAACAUACAAAAUGCCCGAACAGACCUUUGCUAGAAUUGUCACUUUCAACGUCCCCAAUAGCAUUACAAAUAUCACUGACAUCACGGUACCUAUGCUCAAUGGAUCCAACCCUAGCAACUGAAUACAGCGCAAUCACUGAAAUUGGUGGUAAAGCGGAAUCACUAACACUCUCUCGAGCAAUGUUCUGAAUCAACUUAGAGUCUGUCACAAGAGGUACUAUACCAAAUUGAAUUUCCACUACGAUACUAAACUUGUCUAAAUGUCUCUUAACUGGUUCUGCGCUUUCCUGCAAGAUGUAUAACUAAAACUUCUUUCGUCCCUCCAGUAUAACUCGGACACCCCUUCGAACCUCAAGACUCCACCUCCACCUCCACCAGAAAAUUUAAACAUUUUUGAAUCAAGGGAGAUAAAAUUCCUCUUUAGAUCUGGAACAUGUUGAAUCUGAUCAAUUGUUUUGACCAUCCCAUCUUAUAGCCUAAAUCUGACUCGACUGAUCCCAACAAUAUGGUAAAACUAGUUGUUUCCUAGUACAACUCUACCUUGUUGAAUAGUCUCAUAUAUCUAAAAGGAAUUUCGAUUGGAACACAUAUGAUGCGAAUAUGCCGAAUCGAAAAUUCAUUCCUUGUCAGGCCUAGAUUCCAUUGUCAACAUCACAUUUCCACCGUCUGAAAAAUCCUCAACUACAUUUGUUUCGUCUGAAGUCAAAGGUUGAGCCCCAUGAUUUGUAGCUAAAUCACAUUUAGCCUGCAACUUAUCGCAAUCCUUCCGAGUAUAACCCUUACUUCUACAGUAGAAGCAAAACAAAUUGCUAUUAUUCUUUAAUAUGCCCCUUCGUCGAAGACUAUGAGAUAUAAGAGCUUCUUCAUCCCUCAAUGUAGAUCCAAUCAAAUGUUUCAACUUAUCCUUUGAGUGCAAAGUAUGACGUCAUCCAUAGUCAAAGUAUCUCGAUUAUAAAAAAUGUUGUCCCAAAACGACGCAUAAGAGCCAAGCAGCGAACACAAUAGGAUCAAGGUCAGAUCCUCUUCAUCGUACUUAACCUCCAGCGUCUCCAAAUCUGCAAUAUUUUCUUGGGCACGACAAUAUGGUCUUCCAAUGAACAUCCUUUUGCCAUGCGAUGGGAAUACAGUUUCUACUUUAAAGUCAGCUUGCUCCUGAGACUUUUAAUCAUGCAUAAUUGUUCCAGUUUCAACCACAAAACAAUCGCUGUUUUUUCCUCCAAGACAUCUUACAGAAUAUUGUGGAUAAAUAAAAAUGGAUCUGCAAUAAAGCCUUCCGAUCCCUUCGUCGUUUUUCUUCAUUGUUCAAUCGGCUGAUGUCUUCUCAAAAUCCAGCAGCGCAUCGUCCAAAUCCAAUUGCACCAAAAUAGCCCUCAUCUUUACUUGUCACAAAGAAAAUCUUGUAAUGCGAUCCAGCAACGGAAUGUCACGAUCCAGCAGCAGAAUGUCAUACUUCAUGGUAGUCAUUUCGGAAAAAACUUCAACCAAUCCACAGAAGAAGAACCAAGCUCUGAUACCACUUGUUGAACCCAGAGAAAUUGUAAUGAAUGAGAUUAAUGACACAAUAUAAAGUAAUAAAUAUUACAACAACAAAAAAGAUUAAAUGUAAAAAAGAACAAAGAGAGUUAAUCACAGAGGAACAAAAUAUAUUAACUAACAAUAUUGAGAGAAAUUACAGACACAGCAGCAAUGCAUUAAUAAAACUGAUAGAGUGGCCUUGUAUUUAUAGGCCACAUUUCAAAUCAUAGAAGACUCCUAAAAGAUAAGAAAAUCUGUUUAAAUUAUGUUACAAUUGUGCAUAGAACUUCGAUCGAGAGAGAAUUUUUUUCCUUGUUCAACUUGGAUACAAUCUGCAUUUCCAAGUAAAAAUCAUAUACGCAAUCUCACAAGAUUCCUAACCAUGUUUGAGUCACAAAACUUAUUAAUAGGCUGACCAUUCAGGCCCCAUUAGUUGUCUUUGAUUUCCAGCAGUUUUUUAAGCAAUGAGUCAUUUUUCUUCACCUUGCAUGCCCAAGAACGACUCUUAUGAGGUAGAUUUAAUAGUAUUAAAGACGGAAAAUAGCCACAAACUGUGGAAGAAAGAAUAUAGAGAAUGCAAUUGACCUAACUUCCAAACACUUUUUAGCAUGCCAUGGAUGCUAGUUUAUGGACGACUUUGUUCCUGUUUCCAGCAUUAAAAUUGACAACCUACAAUUAAUAUUAGACGCUUUACCUGAUCCCCUUCGUCAGCUAUUUGAUUGGGUACUAUUACCUAGGUUCCUAGACACGGAAUGAAUGGUCGAGCACAAGUGGAAAGCAGUUAUUUGAAUACGGUGGUUUACCUAUGGAAGCUUCUCUAGCUUUUGUAAGAAUUGUAUGGGAGUCAUUCUCGGAGGGACUUCCCGAAAAGAAAUAACUUACAGAACCACUUCAUUUGGAGCAAAACAAGAGUUUCAAACACUUUUUGACUCAGGAACAUAUGCUAGUUUGUAGGUCACUUUAUUCACAUUUCUAGAGAUAAAUUGACAUCCCACAAUUUAACAUUUUGUAACAAAGCAAUUAUAUCUGAAAGAACCACUUCAUUUAGAGGAAAUUGAAAGUCUAAACAUAAGCUCUAAACUGGACUUUCCUCUGGAAACUACUAGCAUUACUACUAUGAAUUUCAUGAUUUAUUUGUUCAAAAUCAAUUUUUCAAACGAGAAAGAUAAAAGUAUUUGAUACAUUGAUACAAAUAUAUAAGCUACUUGAAGCUUGUUUAAACAACUUACUAGAAUGCUUGCAACUUUCUACAAAACAUCGGUAUUUUAGACCCAUCGACAAUCUGGCAAGACCACAUGUUACCACAUCAUCGGUGGGCAACAUAUCUUUUGCCCACUAGAUCAGUUAUAUGAAUAUAACAUACUACAAACACCGCAGGAGCAUGAAGCCAAAGGAAUACAAGGAUCUUCUGAGUAAUUUGAUUAUAACAUACAAGAAGUCAUUGACACGGUUGUAAUGAUAUGUUUAGUACAUUAAGUUAUAUAUUAUUAAAUAAAGGUUCGGGACUCAUUUACAUUCUUCCAAAGGUUAGAUCUAAUUAAGGCAUAUUGAUCUUUUUAUUAUUAAAAAAAAAAGAAUCAAUUACACACCAAAACACAUAGUUUUGAGACAUCUCUACCAAGAAAUAAACAUUAGAGACUAUUUGCAAAUUGUAGGCAAAUGUUAUCAUUAAUUGCAUCAAAUUCCCUUUAUCUUUUGUCUUUGUUCAAAUUUUUAAUUAUUGUGAAAUUGGGAAGAAAGGCACUUUGACUUCACGAAAGAGAAACAAUGUUGGCAAGUGAUUGGGAUGGGUGGCGAGGUGGUGGUGAAAAGUGGUGUUUGAUGAAGAAGAUGACUUUUGUUUUACCAAAGUAGUGUAUCCCUAAAAGAUAGUUUAUUUCGUUUUUUCUUUAAUAAAUUAGAAAGGAAUUUAAUAAUUCAUAACUAUUUACGUUAAAAUGUAAGAAAACAAUACAACAAAUUCUCAGUUUAAAUCUAAUGCAAUUUGGGUUAGGUUUACAAAUUUGUCAAACCAUUAUGAACGAGUUAUUUUGAAAAUAUGUCAAAAUUGUACAGACUAGACCGUUUGCAAUCUUUUUCAAAUUAAAUUGGGAUAUUUCUUGAAUUUCUUCAUAACAAUUGCUAGCUAUGGUUGAAAAUGACAUAUCAAUCGGUCACAUAAUUUUGUUGUUUACUUCCAUGACUACAAAAUGUUCUAGAUUAUUAGAUCCAGCUUAUGAUAAGGAAGUAACUGGUCCAUGCUUUUAUUGUGGGAAAACAUCAAUUAUUAUAAUUGUUUUGUUUUUAUUCGUGAGCUCUACCUUGGCCGACUUGUCAAGAUCAUUUCGAAUUUAAUUCGGCAACAAAUUCUUGACACUUCUAUAUAAAAUUGUAACAAGAAUUACAUUUCUAUUAGUUGCUACGUAACCAACUAAUAUAUGGUCCAUUAACAUUGUAAUCAAAAUGAUAUGGAAAUCAUAGUCGCAAUAAUGGGAAAAUACAUUUGUUAGUUUUUCAUGUUUAUAAAAUCUAGCGUCAGUUAGAGGACAUCAACUUCUCUUAAAAAAACAAAAAACGAGUUCUUUUACUAGUAAAAAAUUUCCUACAAAAAAUAUUUUGGCUUCUAUAUAAAAAAAUAAAAUAACCUCGGCCAAUAAUAAAACUGAUAGAGUGGCCUUGUAUUUAUAGGCCACAUUUCAAAUCAUAGAAGACUCCUAAAAGAUAAGAAAAUCUGUUUAAAUUAUGUUACAAUUGUGCAUAGAACUUCGAUCGAGAGAGAAUUUUUUUCCUUGUUCAACUUGGAUACAAUCUGCAUUUCCAAGUAAAAAUCAUAUACGCAAUCUCACAAGAUUCCUAACCAUGUUUGAGUCACAAAACUUAUUAAUAGGCUGACCAUUCAGGCCCCAUUAGUUGUCUUUGAUUUCCAGCAGUUUUUUAAGCAAUGAGUCAUUUUUCUUCACCUUGCAUGCCCAAGAACGACUCUUAUGAGGUAGAUUUAAUAGUAUUAAAGACGGAAAAUAGCCACAAACUGUGGAAGAAAGAAUAUAGAGAAUGCAAUUGACCUAACUUCCAAACACUUUUUAGCAUGCCAUGGAUGCUAGUUUAUGGACGACUUUGUUCCUGUUUCCAGCAUUAAAAUUGACAACCUACAAUUAAUAUUAGACGCUUUACCUGAUCCCCUUCGUCAGCUAUUUGAUUGGGUACUAUUACCUAGGUUCCUAGACACGGAAUGAAUGGUCGAGCACAAGUGGAAAGCAGUUAUUUGAAUACGGUGGUUUACCUAUGGAAGCUUCUCUAGCUUUUGUAAGAAUUGUAUGGGAGUCAUUCUCGGAGGGACUUCCCGAAAAGAAAUAACUUACAGAACCACUUCAUUUGGAGCAAAACAAGAGUUUCAAACACUUUUUGACUCAGGAACAUAUGCUAGUUUGUAGGUCACUUUAUUCACAUUUCUAGAGAUAAAUUGACAUCCCACAAUUUAACAUUUUGUAACAAAGCAAUUAUAUCUGAAAGAACCACUUCAUUUAGAGGAAAUUGAAAGUCUAAACAUAAGCUCUAAACUGGACUUUCCUCUGGAAACUACUAGCAUUACUACUAUGAAUUUCAUGAUUUAUUUGUUCAAAAUCAAUUUUUCAAACGAGAAAGAUAAAAGUAUUUGAUACAUUGAUACAAAUAUAUAAGCUACUUGAAGCUUGUUUAAACAACUUACUAGAAUGCUUGCAACUUUCUACAAAACAUCGGUAUUUUAGACCCAUCGACAAUCUGGCAAGACCACAUGUUACCACAUCAUCGGUGGGCAACAUAUCUUUUGCCCACUAGAUCAGUUAUAUGAAUAUAACAUACUACAAACACCGCAGGAGCAUGAAGCCAAAGGAAUACAAGGAUCUUCUGAGUAAUUUGAUUAUAACAUACAAGAAGUCAUUGACACGGUUGUAAUGAUAUGUUUAGUACAUUAAGUUAUAUAUUAUUAAAUAAAGGUUCGGGACUCAUUUACAUUCUUCCAAAGGUUAGAUCUAAUUAAGGCAUAUUGAUCUUUUUAUUAUUAAAAAAAAAAGAAUCAAUUACACACCAAAACACAUAGUUUUGAGACAUCUCUACCAAGAAAUAAACAUUAGAGACUAUUUGCAAAUUGUAGGCAAAUGUUAUCAUUAAUUGCAUCAAAUUCCCUUUAUCUUUUGUCUUUGUUCAAAUUUUUAAUUAUUGUGAAAUUGGGAAGAAAGGCACUUUGACUUCACGAAAGAGAAACAAUGUUGGCAAGUGAUUGGGAUGGGUGGCGAGGUGGUGGUGAAAAGUGGUGUUUGAUGAAGAAGAUGACUUUUGUUUUACCAAAGUAGUGUAUCCCUAAAAGAUAGUUUAUUUCGUUUUUUCUUUAAUAAAUUAGAAAGGAAUUUAAUAAUUCAUAACUAUUUACGUUAAAAUGUAAGAAAACAAUACAACAAAUUCUCAGUUUAAAUCUAAUGCAAUUUGGGUUAGGUUUACAAAUUUGUCAAACCAUUAUGAACGAGUUAUUUUGAAAAUAUGUCAAAAUUGUACAGACUAGACCGUUUGCAAUCUUUUUCAAAUUAAAUUGGGAUAUUUCUUGAAUUUCUUCAUAACAAUUGCUAGCUAUGGUUGAAAAUGACAUAUCAAUCGGUCACAUAAUUUUGUUGUUUACUUCCAUGACUACAAAAUGUUCUAGAUUAUUAGAUCCAGCUUAUGAUAAGGAAGUAACUGGUCCAUGCUUUUAUUGUGGGAAAACAUCAAUUAUUAUAAUUGUUUUGUUUUUAUUCGUGAGCUCUACCUUGGCCGACUUGUCAAGAUCAUUUCGAAUUUAAUUCGGCAACAAAUUCUUGACACUUCUAUAUAAAAUUGUAACAAGAAUUACAUUUCUAUUAGUUGCUACGUAACCAACUAAUAUAUGGUCCAUUAACAUUGUAAUCAAAAUGAUAUGGAAAUCAUAGUCGCAAUGAUGGGAAAAUACAUUUGUUAGUUUUUCAUGUUUAUAAAAUCUAGCGUCAGUUAGAGGACAUCAACUUCUCUUAAAAAAACAAAAACGAGUUCUUUUACUAGUAAAAAAUUUCCUACAAAAAAUAUUUUGGCUUCUAUAUAAAAAAAUAAAAUAACCUCGGCCAAACGGGCUCUUAAGAUUUUAAUAUUGUUUGUAAGAUGACCAAAAUAGUUCUUUUUUUAAAAAAAAUUGUGAAUUUUUAAAUUGUUGCUUAUUAAACGUAUGGAUCAAUUCAAGCCUUGGUACUACAUGUGAAUACAUUCUGAAUGAAAUAUUUUUAAGGAAGAUUCAUUGGUCCAUGUGUGUCAUUAUGAUUUGAUACUUGUGGUGUAUAGUUAGAUCAUUGAUUCUAUUGGAUCCCACAAGCUAUGUUCAAUAAUUUAUGAGUAGAGAGAGUUAGAUUGUAUACCAUAAAUUCCAUAACCAUAUUUGUUGAGCUAUUCUAGAAAUGUCAAUGUUCUUUCAUCAAAUUGUUCGCUUUUGUUUUUUUUAUCAUUCUAAACGAGCUAGAGUAUCCAAAAAUAUGUAUGUAAAGAAGAUAUAUGUAUUUCUAAAAUUUGCCUACAUGAAAUGGACGAACUCUAACGGGGGUGUCCCCAUUUCAGAAUUUAAUAGAUUUCUUAAUAUUUAUAAAUUCUCAUGGAUUGUGUGAAAUUUGAUAGAAUUUAAUAGAUUUCAUAAGAUUUGAAUGGAUUUCUAUUUUGUAGAUUUUAAAAUAUUUUCAUGGAUUUUAUAGAUUCUGGGUAAAUUUUAUAAAUAUGCUUAACAUAAGCCACAAAUUUAUACUUCUUCUUUAACGACUCAUUCUUACACAUAUGCACAUUAAUAAAUCACAGAAAAUGAUCGAAUCCUUGUUCAAUUGUUUGUUAAACAUUGAAUAUUAUAACAGAACUUCAAUAAAAAAUACACCUAAUAUUCAACAAAAUGUGAGAGUGGGAGAGGACAAAAAUAUGUAGUGUUAAAUAAUCAAAGUCGUAAUCAAUAUAAAUUAGUUCAAAAGGCCACAACCUUGUGAGAUACAAACACACAGAUGUACACAUACAUGACCACAAGGCAAUUAAUUUCAUACCCCCAGAAUUCUCAUUGACCAUGCAGACACAAAAAAAAAUUGUGGGAUACUAUUCUCACAAGUCUUGGCUAGGAUUUGCAGGUAUAUAUAGAAAACACACAGCUCUUCCCCAAAAAAAUGAAUAGGGUACAAAACUUGAAAGACGAAAUUGUUCCAAUAUGCAUACUUGAAAUCGUAAAUUACCAUGAUAAUUUCCAACACAUUUAUAAAAUAGUAAACAAUAUAUAGCUUCAAUAAGAAAAAAUGAGUUCAAUAAAAAAUCACACUCAAUAUUCAACAAAAAAUAGUAAUCUUUCAUAAAUUAUCAUCAAUUAAAAAGUUCUCAUACACGAUCUUUUCACAAUAGAGAAAUGUGAGAUAGAAAGAAGAAGAAAUUUUUUUUCAAGAUGGGGGGGGGUGGGGGAGAGAGAGAGAGAGGGCAGCAAAUAUGGAGAGAGUGAGAAAUGUUGUGAAAUUUUUAGGUUUGGGUUAAAAUUGUCACUGAUUCUUUGUACUUAUAUUUUUACCUUGAAAUCCUUCAAAAUCUAUUAAAAUCUAUCUACUUAAUGAAAUAUUUUAAAAUCAACAGUUAUUAAGGAUAUCUAAAUUUCAAAACUACCUAUUAAAAUCUAUGUUGAGGACACCUAAAUUUAUAAGUAUUUUUAAAAAUCUAGAUUGGGAACACCUAUAUUUUAAUGAAUUAUAUUUAAAUCUGAAUUGAGGAUACUUCAAUUUAUAUGGAGUUUUAAAAUCCAUCAAACUCUAGAUUGAAGACACCCCCCUAAGUCAGUUUCUGUUAUGAUAGAAAAAGAUAUACAAAAGUAUUUGCCCAAAACGAGUCUCUUUAGCCAUUGUUUGUCAUCCUUUAAUAAAUUAAAUUUUUUACUACAAUAAUAUUCUUUACCACAUAUUUACACAAUAAAAUAUUCUACAUACAAAUCAAUAAAAAAAUUUUAAAUUUUAACCACACAUUUUUCAAAAAAAUACUAUUCAAAACUCUAUAAUUUCUCUCAUAAUGAAAGACAGACAGGCUUUUAAUAUGAAAAUAUGUGAUUCCAAAAUUUUUUUGAAUUUUUUAUAUUAGAUGCUCACGAUUAAAAUUAGAAUCGAAAUAAUAUUUUUGGGAUUGUCAAACAAUCCCUACAACAACAACAAAAAAGUGAGACUUUUGUGAAACUAAGGAUGGAUUGGAAUAAAGAAUUUCAUGGUUGGACCACUGUUCCAAUUAGCUCUUAAAUUGUUCUAAAGGAUUUGUAUGGAAACAAAAUUACAUCUUAUCCAAAACUACAACUAGAGGUAGCAAAUGGACGGCGGGAUCGGAUAUUAUAAGCCUCUCCAAAAAUAUCCAAGUUGUCGUAAAAUAUAUUUCGACAGUAAAACUUUUUUUUCCGGUUAACUUUUGUUGAACUAAAGCUCCUGUUAAAUUUUGGAAUUGAGUCAAUCAAAUUCUGGUGGUUGGAUGCUUCAAAAUAUUUUGCCUUCACUCGAUUGAUACCAAUUGAUAUUCAUACAAGAAGUGAAACUUCGACCUAACGAAAGUUAUUGGGUCAUGGUUCGAAUCACGAUAGCGUCGUGUUAAGGAUACAGUGCGACUCUUAAACUAUCAAACCUAGGGAUCGAGUGUCGAAUGACAUAAAAUGUGGAGCUUUCCUUCAUUCAACACCAAUUGAUUUUCCGAUUUAUGGAAUCUUGACGUGUGUUUAUGGUGCAAAAUAAAAUUUGGCAAAAUAUAAAUAGCAAUUCGAAAAGGUUCAUUAAAUGUAUAGGCUAAUGUGACAUGACAAAAGGAUGUAUAUGGAACAAAGGAACGUGCAUGAUCAUAAAGGAUUGAGAAGGACCAUAAACAGCUUUUAAAUAUAUUCUUCAACUUGAAAGAGACUUAACUCUUUUUGAGUGUCUUUCCUAUCUCCAAUUCUUCAAUUGUCGGCAGUAUUAAAUCCCUCUUCAUUUCUUUCUUAACUCAUCUAUUAAUUCCCUUGUAUUUUGGCCUCGAACGUAUUUUAGCUAAGCAGAACUAGAAACGAGUAAUUCAUAUUGAACAUAGUAUUGGAUAUGAUCACACAAUAUUGAACAUAUAUGUCUAGAUAUGGCCGAACAAUAUUGUUAUAGUUGAUAUGCUCAUAAGCAGUACUCGAUAUGACCGUAUGGUGAACUCGGCAAGAUUUUUUGUUCUUUUUUCUUUUUGAAUAUUAUGAAAUACUAUCUAAUGUGCUCUAUCAAACAAGUGUGCACAACUCAAUUUGAACUAUGAAAACCCGGUAAAAACAAAACCAAAUUGCAAACGUUCAGUCUAAGUAGAAAAUUUUACUGCUUAGACAUGAUGGAGGUUGGCAAAAUACUUUAUAUGUAGAUUAAUAAUCAAAUAAAGUCAAGGUUGGAUUUGAUAACUAUGAUUUAGAUUGUUUUCUAGUGAAUAAAAUGGUAUCUCGGGUAUUUUAGUAAGAACGGGUAGACUUCAUGUGCAUUUAGAGAUGAGGAUUUGACUCACAAGCAACUUCAAUUUUGUAGGGAUUCUAGCCUUAUUUUCAGAAUCGCCUCGGGAUCUUUAUAUAUCCCCUGUUGAUUUUGCUCAAAUUAGUUUUAGUAGAUUUUAAUAAAGUCAACAAAAUGUGGAAUUGAAAGAUUAAUAAAAAUUAUAGUCCUUAUAAGCUCUUGAAACCACUUUGUUGAAAGCGGAACGCUUUGAUACCAAUUUGUUGAAAAUCCGGCCAAAUAAUUAAACAACGAGAAAAAAUGGGCAAUAUAAGAAUAAUGAAUCAUGCACGAAACAAGAUUUUUGUGGAAGAAUGGGAGAAUUUAUUAUACCAAGAAACUAAAAUUGUUUCUACAAGAUUUAAUUCUCUCAAUCUAAAUCUAAACAAUUUUCUCAAUCUAAAUCUAAACAAUUCUCUCAAGUUUCUAAUUUAUACAACAAUGAUAUAAUUGUUAUGUUGAGUCUAUCUGGAUGACCCUCAAAGUCAAUCAAAUAAAUAUGUGUAAUGCCUCACAUAUUUAUAAUACAAGAGUCCAUAAUCUCAAAGUUUUUAUUCAAAUCAAACUCUCAAUGCAUGAUGAAAUUUGAUCCCUUAUCUAACUGGACUUUUAAACCCAAAUUAUUUAGAAUUCCUCCUUGAACUACAAUUCCAAAUCACAUGGAAUUUGAGUCACAAUCUAACAAUAGAUCACAUGAAUUACAUAGUUAAAAUUAAUCGAGAGAAAUAGAAAUAGAGAAAAAUUACAAAAUUUAAAGAAAUAAAAGAAUUAUGUGAAUAACUUCUCAAAACAGGAGAGAAACCAAGGACUUUUAAAGACGGAUAUGCAUCUAUUAUGUGAAAUUUUGCUAUAGUUAAACAAUCUCUCUCACAUUCUGAAUUUGUAGCUCUUUUCUUUUCCUUGUUCCAUAUAUUAAGGUUGAACCCCAACCUUGAAGGCCCCCACCGCCCCGUCUCUAGAGCUUUAUGAGGGAGGUAAAUCGCGGGAUGUGCCCUAACAGGUUAGGGAACAAGAACUGCCUGUACACUGCGGCUACAAAGAGUCCAAUUCCAUGUUUCAGGAAUCGAACCGCCACACUGCGGUUGUCAACAAGGCAUAAGAUAACCUCACUUCUGUCCUUUGCACCACUAGGCUAUGCCUCGGAGGGCAUCCUUGUUCCAUAUAUUGUUCUAUGUGAGACUACACAAGCAGUUCCAAAAAUCAUCCAUUUAUGAGGAGGGAAGUUCAAAUAAAUUUGUAGUUUUGUACUCUUUUUUCACAACAUGUUCAAAGAUAACGAUUUAAAAUAGAAAUACUUCUCAAGGAACCUUUAUUUUAAUUUAAGUUACAAUUCACAAAAGAAUUUGAGCCUUUUCACUACUACUUGAUAGGACGAGCAUGCCAUAAUAAUAAAAAUUGAAUUACGAUCCUAUUAGUGAAGCAAAAUCAACAAAAAUAACGGAUUAACUUUCACUCUGAGGUCCCUCAACAUGUCAUUGACCAAAACAUGUUGUCAUUCUCCUCGUACAUUGUUUGCUUGCGACGAGCUAACUGGUUUCUGUGCGGACUGGUUGAGGUGUUGUUGAUAGAGAGCUUCCAUUUUCUUGUAGAAAUCCAUGUUCAUUGAUUGCUAGAACAAGAGUAAGAAUCAAUAAUCAACGAAUAGGCAUUCAAAAAGUUCUAUAAAAAUAAUAGACAAUUUACUCACUUACUUGAGCUAGAAAUGUGUAAUAUGCAUCGUUAAAAGGAAGCGAUGUGUUGGAGGGAGUCGGAGGGGAGAUCGUCUGAGGCAUAGAGAAGGGAGGUGGUGGCACAAAUGGUGGAGCAGCUACGGAAAGUGGAGGUGAAUGGAUAUAGGAAGGAAACAAUUGAGGCAUAGUUCGAGCUACAUUAUUCAUCCCGAGCAUUCCCAUUCCCAUUCCCAUACGUGCCAAGAGAGACAUUUGUAGUUGUUGCUGGAUUCCUAAAGGCAUCAUCAUUUGUGGAAUAUUGGUUCUUGCACUCAUCAUUUGAACUUGUGCUUGAAGUUGUUUUAAGUAUGCAAUCACCUCGUCAAGCAUUGAUGCUUUAUCAGUCUGCAUAUAUAAUGAGACGCGUGCGUAAAUACAUUAAUCAAGAUGCACGUAGGGGAAAAUCCAUGGUCAUUAUAAAUUUAUUCUUUUCACCAAAAGUCUGACACGUGAAACUUUGUUACUUACCUUACUUGCAUUGGGCACCAAUUUUUGAAGAGCCUUCAUCUUCUGAUUGAUCCUAUCUCUACGUCUCUACACGAAUACAUCAUAUUUGUAUCAGUGGUUUUAAAGAAAAUUUCUUUAAUAUUAAUCUUUUCGUGACAAUGUUAGCCCUGCGACACUUUUGUGAAGCGAAACCUUUGUGAACAUGUUUGGUACAUGGUAUUGUAUAGUUGAGAUCAUACCCGUUCUGACUGAUUAUGUGUGGCAGCAGCUCGACUAUGUCUUCCUGAUGAUGGCGACUGAGUAGCGUCCCAGUUGUUCUCACGUUCUUCAUCCUGUUUUUCCUGCCAAAAUUUACGACAAUUAAAGCAGGCUGAGAGAAUAACUCGACAAAAGAAUUAAGAGCUCUUAUUGUCCUUUUCCAUUGUUUAGAUUACUAUAUUUUUUUCGCAUUAUUUCUUUGUUUAGAUUUGACUUACGGGCGCAAUAUGUAAAAGCCGAAAGACUUGUAAUUGUGAAGAGAUUAGAAUAUCUUGUCAAGGAAGACAAUAGCUCAUUAUAAUCGUGGUCAUGUGAGUGAAAGCUGUGAGACUAGUUCUUAAAGAGAUUCCCCAAGUCUAUUUCUAUGCCUAAUGAUGAAAGUGGAGUUCGAGUGGCUAAAGUGAAGAUUCGGAGAGCCCAGAAAAUUCCGGCAUAUUUUAUAAGUAGGAUUGGACCAGACUAGGUAUAAGAAAAGAAAGCUACAAUUUUGUCAUUUGUGUUGUUUAGUCAUGUUCAACAUUGUGUAACCAAAACACGCUUCAAGAUUAGUAUAUGUUCAUCCUACAAAAUCGAGAAUUUUCUAACCGAGCAAGCUGGAAAAGCCGAAUCUUCAUCUCUGUUUCUCGUACUCUUGAAGCUUUGAGGGGGUUCAAAGGAAGCCCAAGUCAUCAUAGUUGUAUCAGUAUCCAUACAAAAGGUUGCACUUGCACUAGCACAUCCACUGGCUUCUCCCCCUUGAUCUUCCUCAAAAUAUCUUCCACAAUUUUGUUCUGACUCUGAUCUUGUCCUUUUCUUAGUUAAACCUGCCGGGCCGACAUGGCAACUCGAAGAUGCAGCCAUAUGGCCUGAGCUUUUGCUCCAUCUUCCACCAGAAGAUGCAGCCAUCGAACUUAAAUUUGCCUCCUUUUGUUUCAACUGCGUGUCAAUUGAUGAACUCUUGGGCCAUUUUCCACCCCAAGGUGCAUCCAAUGAGCUAAAAGUUGCCUCUUUUUUAUUAGACCUAUCACGAGUGGCUUGAUCGACUAGGCAUUCUAACGUAUCAGCACUGGUACUAGCCCGAAUAGGAGAUGGAACCAUGCUACCAAGAUCAUGCAUAGCUAACUGUCCAUUUUCCCAUGUCAAUUCUGCUACUUCAUUACUAGACCUGAACUCCAACGUACCACAAAAAUUAGUUUUUUGUUUACUCCCAGAUUAUGGGAUGACGGAUAAAGCAUACUAUGAAACAUAUAAUUGAUAAGAAACAUAGGAUUCAUGGAGAAUUACAGGAUAAGUACAGUGCAUACAUAGGGACGUGAUCACGUGAUGUCUUCCCUUCUUCGUCUACUUGUUCUUGUCUUUGGUGCCUUCGAUUCCAUUUAGGUACUACACAAUGAUUCAUAGUGUCUCAGAGACUCUUUCUUCUCUCUCUACAAAUGAACAUGGACAGAGGAAGAUUUAUAUUCUGUUCACAGUAUAUUUCUGGUCCCCUUUGAAUGUCACUUUCAAUUGAUGGAGAGUUUCAUGACAAAACAAGUGGCGGCAAGGGAGAGAGUAUAGUGUUAAUUUAGCAUUAAUGUUGUGAACAGGCCCACUUACAAGGGUUUAAUAGGGGCCAAGAUGGAUUCACCUCAACCCUUGAUUUGAAUUGGGCUUCUUUGAGUAGCAAAGCUCUUAAUUUAGAAUCCUUUUUCAGGGAAAUUUUUAUCAUGGUCGUUGGACUUUCAGCGAAAUUUUAAUUGGAUUACGCUAAUUCAUUUUGUCUUAAUUGAGUCACUAGAUAAAUUCGGUUGCUUUUUUUUUUUUUUUUUAUCAUAAUUAAGCAAUUUCUAUAAAUAUGUAUACGACAGGUAAUAGUUUUGAAAUUUGACUUGAAGUUGAAGUUCAAUGACUUAACUGAAACUAAAUUGAAGUUGAGUGGUCUGAUUGAGACAAAUUAAAAUCUAAUAACACAAUUGAGAUUUCGUUGAAAGUUCAAUGACCACUUUCUCACAUCAUCUUAUAUUCUAAAAUUUUAAAAAGAGAAAUUAACUUUUAAACUUAGGGCCUGUUUGGGAGGGAUUUUUUAACCCAAAAAAUUGAUUUUUUGAUCAUUAUUUCACUAUUUCGAUCGUAAUUUUUGACUUUUUCUCUCACAUAUAGACCCUACUUUUCUUCUAACGGUCAAAAAAUCAAUUCUCAAAAUCCCUCACAAACGGGGCCUUAGUGAAAAAUGAAAUUUUGAGAAUGCAAUUUCAUUUUGGUAUUACUUUUGUGUUGCUUGUAGUAUUGGGAAAUGUUUAUUAUUCGCUCAGUUAUUGUUGUUACUUAUAUAACAUGAUAUCAUUGCAGGUAAAAAAUAAAUUUCAUUUAUUGAGUGGUCUUUAAACCCCCCCCCCCAUCUCUUUUGUGUGUCUCGUGGUUGACUCUAAACUUGAGAUUACUGGUAGAUUUGGGAGUAAAACUUUCUUUAUUGAGAAGCCGGUUGUCAUAGUUUGGACGUGGUUCAAUCUCUAAUAGCUCUUUUGACUCUAUAUGUGGGCACCUGAUAUCUAUGAGGGUUCGCCCAAGUUUUACACCCAAAUCUCGUUCUCAUCCAUUUAUUAAAGUCGAUCGUGUUUGGGUGUUAAUAUAAAUGUGAUGAGAAAAAAGAAACUUUUAGAAGGUGAUUCAACUAAAUUUUAGAAAAAUUAAACGAAAAGUGAAAUAGUAAAAAAUGAAAAUAUAUAUAUAUAAAAGACUAAUUUGGUGGCAGAAUAUUUAGCAGCCCCACACGAGAAUGGAAGCUAGGGGCCUCCUACCUAACAAGUGGGAAAUGACUGGUUCAUAGGCAAAGGAUAGGAAGGACAAUAAAUGAAGCCAGAUAUGACUACUAGAUCACACGUAUUCACGUAUAUCUUGUGAGGACCAAAAAUUGAUCCUCAUUCAUCGUUGAAACACCAAUGAAAAUUCAUAUCUUCAUCAAAUAUUCAAACUCCCAACCAAAUUUUCGAGACAAUAUUGUUGUGGAUUAGACGCUGAAUCCUAUAUCAUAGAGAGCAAUAGUAAUAUGAAACAUAAAGACGAAAGCAAGUAGAAAACUCUUUGGUGAUAGACAGUAGGGGGGGAAAAAUGAAAAUAAAUAAAUAAGGUUGAGAUAUUGGAGUAGGAUCUCUUCUUGCUAACAUUGCACCAACAUUUUCAAACGUGUCCUCAUUAAGAAGACGAGAAACUUGGGUGUCCAACCGCCAACCCCGAGGCACCACCUAUGUGGAUGGCCCACACACCUCCGGGGUGUGUGGUAGCCCACCCGCCGAGGUGGUUCACAUUGAUAUGUGGUGGUGACCUAAGUUUUUUCCCAUUAAGACGGUAGGCUAUGGAUAAAGACGAUUAGAGAAAUAAGAAGCCAAUUUAGGAAGUAAUUUUUUUGUUGAGGCAAAGUUGUUUGGACAUGUAAAUGGUGACUAGGAUGCGUGAGUGGCCGAUUGAUAUUGUGUGGUGCCAAUAAUUCUAUCCUUAGGUCAAUUGAAAUCGCCCAGUGGUGCAGCUGACAUCCUUUAAGAUUGCUAGUCCUUGGCUAUGGAUUUACCCAUCCGGCGGGUUGGUUGACUUGACCAGGCUUCUUUUCAGUCUUGGUUAAGGCCACCGCUGGCUUUUGGGCACGGGCUAUUGAGGCCUCUUCAGCCUUCCAAAACUUUUGCGCUUUAGACUAUAAAAUGCUUGUACACAAUGCUAGUGUCAUUUACAAUGUCGUACACUCUCCACCCAAAAUACGAAAAAGAGAUUCACUCUUUAUAUACGAAGGAAAAAUUAAACCUGCACCAAAUAUUAGGUCGAUCUAUGAUCAAGGAAAAAAGUGUACACUGAUACUAGGCACAAAUAAUAACAAAUACAAAUCUUAAUUGAGUCACUGAAAGGAGAAAGACCGCUAAUAAAAAAAAGAAAAAAAAAGAAAAAAAAAAAGAAAAAGGAGGGACACAAAAUCACAAAUCAUUUAUCAAUAUAUGUGAAAAAUCAUUAAGUACUUGGAAAAAGCAAAGCCAUUGAUGGAUGUUUGUCACUAAAAAUCGCAAAGAUAAGUAUUAAUAAUAGAUAUGAGUUCAAUGUCAAUUUCACGAAGAUUGCGUAUUUAUAAUUGAAAUAACUUAUUCUUAAUUAUAACUAAAGGAAAUUUCAUGCUGAAAUUUGUUUGAUUAGGUUUUACUAAAAUUACUAUGACAAAUCAUUUAAAUGGCUUUCGAUAAUUCUAGGGAAAAAUAAAGUUUGGAAGGCAUUAGGACUACGGCUCCACUUACAUUUUUUCGCUUCAAUCCUCAUUUCACAUAAUUGAUAGUACAUAGUUUAUAUUGGAAUUCAAUCUAUUUCUUCUAAUGAUCUCUCUCGAGUAGAAUUAGUGCUAUACUAGUUUGUAAACCUGCAGCAAAAAAAAAAAAAAAAAAAAAAAAAAAAAAAACAAUGAACAUUGUCAAUUACAUAGACUAUAGUUGUAAAUCUCUAUCUCCCAUCGAAAAAUGAAAUAGUUAUUAUUAUGUGCUAAAUCUUUUUCGAUCUUUCGAAAGCAAUAUAAAACACCGAACCAAGAGAAUCUAGAGCAAGGGAAGACCUAUAAAGGGAUGAGUGGGUGUCGUUGCCCCCACUGGAUUUUCAAAUGCGGGGUUUUUAAAUUCAAGUUUUUUUUUUUCCCAAUUUAUUCAAAAUAAUAUUUUUACAUAAUUGUGUAUCACUCCAUUGAACCAUAAUCUUGGGUUUGCCUCUGAUCUAGAAUAUAAGAAGUAGGACGCUAACCACAAAAAAUGACAUUCUUAUUAUUAGCUUUAUGUCUCAAGUCAUACCAUAUAAGGAAUUAACCGUCAUAGUCCAACAUGAUUUUAUUACCACUUUUUAUCGGGCACGAAGCUGCGUAAGACUUAUGAAUUGGUGGAACAAAAGGACAGCAAAUUCGUCCAAGACUUCUUAUUGCAUAUCUUUUCGUCACUCGUAUCUUAUUUAUAUUCAUCUUUCGAGGUACGAGAGCAGUCAAACACCUUCCUAUUGCCUUGACUGAAGAUCAUUUUUGCCAAGCAACACUCACAUGAAUUUGAUUCAAAUUAUACACACUUUUUCGACUAAAACAAGUACCACCUAUCAAACUUGCUAAUAUCAACCGUCCUAACAAUCUUGGGGUUGUGGAUCACUUAACUGUAAGCGGAGUUGCAUUCAGGUCACUCAUAUUCAAUUUGGUGCAAUUAGAUCACUUAAAUUCAAUUUGUUUGCAAAUCUAAUCAUCAUCUUCAAUUUGAUACAAAUCGAGUUACCAAAUAUCGACUUGCUUACAAAUUUGGUCAUUAUGUCCUCUACUCGUCAACUUAACUUAUGUAACAUAUUGAAAUGGACAGUGAAAUUGAUGGAUGCUGAUGUUCACCUCACACAACAGUAGAAAUCAACCAUCUAUAAAAUAUACUUUUUAAUUAAAAGUGUAUGAGCUAAAAGCACGUUUUUACACGUCAUUCAUCAAUUAGUUUAGUAUCCAGAUCAACAUAUUGUGCUAGUUAAACUGACUACAAUGAACAAAAUGACUAGAUUUGUAAGAAAGAAAAAAAAUCAAAGUUGAAUGACCAGAUUAUAUCAAACUAAAUAUGUGUGACCAGAUUUGCAAGAAAAUGAAAGUUUGGUGACCUUAAUGAAUCAAAUUAAAGAUGAGCGAUCCUGUUGUAACUCUUCUUAAAAUUGAGUGACCUACAAUGCAUUUAAUCCUCCUAGAAUCAUACCCAAAACCAUCCUCAUCGCGCUUGUUAACCUAUGUUCCUUUCAAGUAUUCUACAUAGUGAAAAUGACAACACAUUGCAUAAGCUUGCAAUGACGUAAUUGUCAAAUGGAAAUGAUCUAAUGCUACUCGAUCAAGUGAAUUUAAACUUAAGCUUGGAUGUGUAUAAUGUAAAUUUUUGAGAAUAAAUUUUCUGAAAUGUCAUUUAUUAUUAUUAUUAUUGUUUUUUUUUUGUGGAAAAAAUGAGCGAUUAAAAAGUAUGGAACAGUAUGCGUCAACGUUCAAAAUUAUUUUAUUGAGAGAAUGUGUGAUUGAAAUGACUUUUAAAGAAUUUCUACCAAAUUGGACUUUUUGAAAAUUGAUAUUUUUUGUUAUACAUGUGUAGUUUAAAAGUAGAAUUAAAAAAGUUUACGUACAAAAUUAUUUUAUUGAAAUGGUCCAGUGAUAUAACCUAUGCUACUCAUAUGGUAUUUAACCUUUAGUAGAACUAAGCAUUCUUUUCUUUUUCUUUCUUUCUUUCUUUCUUUCUUUCUUUCUUUAUUCUCAAUUCUUUUUUAAUUUAGUAUUCAGUCUUUCAUUUUAAGGUUAUUAUUACUCCACAUAAUAAUAAAGAAGAAAAGAGUAAGCAUUUAAUCAAACAACUGUGAAACAAGUUAGAAACAUUAAGCAAAACGGCGUUAACAUAAAAUUGAGAUGACUAAGCCAUGACUUCCUCUUAUUCGGGAGUUCCUAACCUACGCAAUCGGCCUAAAUUUAUUUAAGUUCAAUACGACCCAAUUUUCUGGGCCAGGCCCAUGUAGGACCCCCAACACAUAUUUUUUUAGUGGAAAUUACACAAUUCCAUAGGUUUUAAAUUCCAACUUCACGAAUCAGAUCCAAUAUUUGGUUAUUCAAAAAUUAGAUGUUAUAUAUAUAAUAUUUAUUUUUAAUAAAUAUAACCCACAAUUCAACUCCAAACCCUAACCUCUCUUAUCUCUCUAAACCCGUUCAAAAUUCGACGAUGAAAAAGUUGCUCCGACUGACGCUGUUGGAAUUGAAGAUGAUGGCAGUGCUAGCAGUUGCAGCGACCUGCAGUAGCAGCAUUGAUUUGUGGCGAUCAUGGAUUUUGUGUGGUGUGGUGACGAUGUUUGUGCGGUGGCGGUGGAGGCUGUGGUGAUUCAGAGGGGUGGAUGUGGUUUGUUUGAAGUGUUGCAAUGGGUUGUUUGAGGUGUUGCGAUGGUGUCUGAUUUGGCAAUCGGGGUAGAUGUGGUAGUGUGUGAGCUUCGCCGAAGUCUGGCAGAUUGUGAUGGUGUAGCUGUAGCGACGGCGAUCGUGGUGUUGAUUUUUUUUUUUUUUUUUGCCUUUUAUGGUUGACAGCGCAAAUCGUGGCGGUGAUGGCGCAGAUCAUGGCUAUGGCGGUGUAGAUUGUGGUGUUGAUUUUUUUUCUUGGUUGUUGGAUGUGGUGCAAGCAGUGGCGGCAGCGUUGACAUCGCCCAGGUGGAUCAAUAGUGUCUGUGACCAGUAAAUUGUUUGAUUCGAUUGUGAUGGUGAAUGCGGUGGUUGUGGAAAUGGGUGACGUUGACGGUGUUGGCUGUGGCGUUGCGGUGGCAAUUUAAGGAAAUGGGUGGAUGCGGUUUGGGGCAAGUUUUGCUGGCUGCGGUGGCAACGAUGGUGGUGAAAAUUGUGACUGUGCAUGUGACUCUCUAUUAUGACUUGAAAAUUGUGAUUGUGACUCCCAAUUGUGAUUCACAAUUAAUAAAGUUGUGACCGAAAAAUUAAUCAUGAACAAUUAAUUCAAUAACUUGCAAUGAGUAAUAAUUGUGACUAAUAAAAGUUUUGAAUAUGUGAUCGAUGAAUAAGUAUUUUAUUUGAAGAAUUGAACAAAACUAAAAUUUCUGUAGAUUCUUAAAACGUCGUGACCUGUAAAAUUUUUGGAUUCGUGACCUAAAAAUAUUCUGUGACCUAUAAAUUUUUCGACCUGUGAUCGAGAAAUAAGUUACGACCAAUAAUUUGAUAAGUUGUGACUAAAAAUUAAUCUGUGAUUAAUUAAUUAGAUAACUGUGAUCUGAAUAUAUUUAAUAAAAUAUAUGUUUAAUAAAUUAAUUUAUAAAUAAAAAUUAAAAAUCUGAUUUUUGAAACUUUAAACAUUUGUUCUUAAUUUUGAAAAAAGGUAUAUUUACCUUCUUAGAAAUGAAUUUUUCCCAUUUUUUAUUAGAAAUUUGCUAUUUGUACAUGGACAUGUACACUUCCCUCACAUGGACGGACCAUGCCCAAUAAAAAAAGCGCGAGCCCCCUCUUGUAGGGACAUUGUCAACGUCCGUGUACACAUAGCACGACUCUUUUUUUUAAUAGUUUUACAAGAAUGUUUGAGAGUACUUUUCCAAACUUAUAGUUGAUCAAACAUCAAUUUUAUUUGAACAUUCUAUAGGAUUUACAACUUUUACUUGCUUUUUAUCUACAUAAUUCAUAGAACCACUACUUAUAAAUGCUUAUAAGUAUUACCAAACUAGCACUACAUAGUUUAUUAUUAUUAUUAUUAUUUUUGGAGGGGGAAUUUAAAAAAUUAGGUACCACUAAUUUUUUAUUUAAAAUAUGUAUAUCCACCUAUACCCCCACUCCUCCGUACCCCACCAGCAACCCUUCAAAAACAUACACCCACCCAUUCCAUCUUGCCCCUUCAAAAAGAAAAUGGAAAAAAAUAAUUUUGACAUUCGUCGAAGCUCCUCCACCACGCUCCAAAGUUUGUUCGUGAUUUCUCUCCCAUUACACAUCAUUCAUUUUUCCUUCUAGUGCAGAUAGUAAAUAGUACGAGGGUUUAGGACUAUGAAUGGCACAAAAUAAAAAUUAGGCACCGUUUGAUAGCUCUCAUUUUCCAUGGAACUUGGAAAAUAAAUUCCAUUUUCCAUCCUUAAGUGUGUUGGAUGGCAAAAAAAUUGGCAUGGAAUUCAUUUUCCACUUCUUGCCUCACGUGAUGGCUUUUCUAGGUUUUUAGUGAAUUACAAUUCCCACCAAAUGGUGGGAAUUGCUUUUCUAACUUUUUUUUUUCAAUGAAAACAAAUUCUAGAAAUAAUUGAAAAAGAGAAUAUCUUUUAAAUUGACAAUUUUAAUGGAAAACAAAGUCAAACGAAUACUAAAAUAUAAAUGAUUUUUGGUUUUGCUGGAUUUUUUUUUUUUUUUUUUUUUGUAAUGGAAACAAAUUCUAUAAAUAAUUGUAAAAGAAUAUAUCCCUUAAAUUGACAAUUUUCAUGAAAAACAAAAUCAAACGAAUACCAAGAAACACUUUAAUUUCAAUAUUUUCUAGGUGAAAAAUUAUACCAAUCAAACACUAUUAAUUGACAAUUCUCAUGAAAACAAUUUUUAGGCAAUUCAAUUCCCUGGAAUUCGUUUUCUUUCUACUCAAAUUUCAUCUUUACAAUCAAAGAAAGAUUUGGGACCAUGACUACAAUUCUCCCUGUGAAAAUUGAGUAAGUUGUGUCAUUCAAUGUAGGCAUCGCUUUAGUUUUUGGUGAUGUUGAGUAACUCGGUGAAUUUGGAAACAUGAGUACUAGUAGCGUGAUCAGUUUUUAACAUAUAAAAGUUUGGUGACUAAAGGUAAAACAAAUAUAGAAGUUGGGUGACCAUUCAUGAACUAUUUCCAUUUUUAGAUCGUAUAUGUCGGACAACGAAACGACGUCGUAUGAACGGGCGACGCCAUUUCCUUUGGCAUCUAUGAUCUACCUCGUCAGUACUGAACAAUUUGAAAACCCUAAAUAAGCUUGCUUUUCUGGCUCUGUGAAGAAGAAAAAUUACAAAAUCAGCAGAGAUCAAUCGGAUCAAAUCGAACUGUGAGUACAAGAAUGGCUAUGGCUGCUUUGAGACGCGAAGGAAGGCGUUUCGCCGCCCCUCUCAUCUCCAACAACCCUAUCAACCCCUUCCGUUCCUCUUUCGCCCCUGCUGAGUACGAUUCGAUCUCUCUUUUCUAGUUAUCUGUAUUUAUGUUUCGAUUCCAUGCUUCAUUUCGUAUGGAAAAUGUCUUAUAUGUGUGCGUUUGAUGGGAAAUUGAUGAUUCCUAAGCAUAGCACGCCAUUUUCAGUGUAAAAUGUACAUCAUGUCAUUGCUGAGACUUUCAGAUUAUAGAUACAGUGUCUAUAUUCUCUACCCAACAUUCAAUGGCCAGUUAGUAUAAAUUUUUUGAUAGUGUCACGGGCUAUAAUUGAGACAUUAGCCUCUUAUGUGAAUGUAAAAUAUAUAGAUUGAAAUUAGGACUACUGGGAACCUGAUAGCUCUUACAGUCUGCAAAGGACAAUGAUUCUUUUGAGCUAUUGUCAUCUUGCUCACUCUAUGCAUUAUAUUUUCUUGGUUAAUUGAAUGGACAUCUCCAUUUUGCUUUUAAAUUUACAAGAGGUUAUCUGAGUAUUUAGUUCAGAGAUCUUCAAUUUUCAUAAUAUUUGUGGUUGCGUUGGACAAGAAGAAAUGUAGUUUACCUGGUGAUGUCAUUUAUUUGACUAAUUUUUUGGUAAAAUAUCUCCCAUGCACCAAAUAUAAUGGUUUGCACUAUUAUUUUAGCUCAGAAAAGAUGUUCAACUUGUGGGGAUAUGGUUUGGUUGGCUUGUUAGAUGUAUUAUCCAUACUUCAAGGUGUGGUUGUUCACUUUUUAAUUCUGGAUUCGACUUUUUCUUCGAUGGCUCUGUCUUGAUCUUGUUUAUUCAAGUAAAAUGAUCUCAAAAAAGAUUGGCUCUAGUUCUUUUCAACGACGACAUGGAAACACCAAAAAGAUUUAGAAUGUUAUAUGCUUAUGAAUGGUUACCCAUUUGAUUACUUCGAUUAGACAAAAACAUCACAUAAAUCGUUUACAAAAACCUUCUAAGGCUUACGCCUCAAUUCCUGCUUCACAUGAGGCUUUUAUUAAACGCCUCAAAACGUAUGCCUUAGAUGCCAUUUGUGAGGUUUAAGCCUCGACUUAGUGAGGCUUACACCUCAAAACUAAGUCUCAUGGGGACUAUUGUGUACACUCAUUUGCCUUGCCUUUUUUGCUACAGUUAAUGGCCAUUUUAUAACCUAGAAUGUUCUACAAUUUUUUUUUUUUUUAAUUUCUAUUUUUUGCUUUACACAAAAGAAGAAGGAGAAGACGUCAUUGCAUAUGGAGAAUGAUUAUAAAGAAUGAGAAGAAACUUAUAGUAAUGAUGACGACGGGAAUGGAAUAUUUUGGAUGUUUUAAAAACCACUCAAAAUCGUUGUGGUGUAAUUUUGACCCUUUCUCCCAACCCAUCAAAUCAACGGUUUUUACCAUUUCUCAUAUUAUUUUCUGAUUUUACAAUUAAUAUUUAUUUUUAAUAAAUAUAACCCACAAUUCAACUCCAAACCCUAACCUCUCUUAUCUCUCUAAACCCGUUCAAAAUUCGGCGAUGAAAAAGUUGCUCCGACUGACGUUGUUGGAAUUGAAGAUGAUGGCAGUGCUAGCAGUUGCAGCAUUGAUUUGUGGCGAUCGUGGAUUUUGUGUGGUGUGGCGACGAUGUUUGUGCGGUGGCGGUGGAGUCUGUGGUGAUUCAGAGGGGUGGCUGUGAUUUGUUUGAAGUGUUGCAAUGGGUUGUUUGAGGUGUUGCGAUGGUGUCUGAUUUGGCGAUUGGGGUAGAUGUGGUAGUGUGUGAGCUUCGCCGAAGUCUUGCAGAUUGUGAUGGCGUAGCUGUAGCGACGGCGAUCGUGGUGUUGAUAUUUUUUUUUCCUUUUAUGGUUGACAGCGCAAAUCGUGGCGGUGAUGGCGCAGAUCAUGGCUAUAGCGGUGUAGAUCAUGGUGUUGAUUUUUUUUCUUGGUUGUCGGAUGUGGUGCAAGCAGUGGCGAUAGCGUCGACAUUGCCCUGGUGGAUCAAUAGUGUCUGUGACCAGUAAAUUGAUUGAUUCGAUUGUGGUGGCAAAUGCGGUGGUUGUGGAAAUGGGUGACGUUGACGGUGUUGGCUGUGGCGUUGCGGUGGCGAUUUAAGGAAAUGGGUGGAUGCGGUUUGGGGCAGGUUUUGCUGGCUGCGGUGGCAGCGAUGGUGGUGAAAAUUGUGACUGUGCAUGUGACUCUCUAUUAUGACUUGAAAAUUGUGAUUGUGACUCUCAAUUGUGAUUCACAAUUAAUAAAGUUGUGACCGAAAAAUUAAUCAUAAACAAUUAAUUCAAUAACUUGCAAUGAGUAAUAAUUGUGACUAAUAAAAGUUUUGAAUAUGUGAUCGAUGAAUAAGUAUUUUAUUUGAAGAAUUGAACAAAGCUAAAAUUUCUGUAAAUUAUUAAAACGUCAUGACCUAUAAAAUUUUUGGAUUCGUGACCUAAAAAUAUUCUGUGACCUAUAAAUUUUUCGACCUGUGAUCGAGAAAUAAGUUACGACCAAUAAUUUGAUAAGUUGUGACUAAAAAUUAAUCUGUGAUUAAUUAAUUAGAUAACUAUGAUCUGAAUAUAUUUAAUAAAAUAUAUGUUUAAUAAAUUAAUUUAUAAAUAAAAAUUAAAAAUCCGAUUUUUGAAACUUUAAACAUUUGUUCUUAAUUUUGAAAAAAGGUAUAUUUACCUUCUUAGAAAUGAAUUUUUCCCAUUUUUUUAUUAGAAAUUUGCUAUUUGUACAUGGACAUGUACACUUCCCUCACAUGGACGGACCAUGCCCAAUAAAAAAAGCGCGAGCCCCCUCUCGUGGGGAUAGUGUCAACGUCCGUGUACACAUAGCACGACUCUUUUUUUUAAUAGUUUUACAAGAAUGUUUGAGAGUACUUUUUCAAACUUAUAGUUGAUCAAACAUCAAUUUUAUUUGAACAUUCUAUAGGAUUUACAACUUUUACCUGCUUUUUAUCUACAUAAUUCAUAGAACCACUACUUAUAAAUGCUUAUAAGUAUUACCAAACUAGCACUACAUAGUUUAUUAUUAUUAUUAUUAUUAUUAUUAUUAUUAUUAUUUUUGGAGGGGGAAUUUAAAAAAUUAGGUACCACUAAUUUUUUAUUUAAAAUAUGUAUAUCCACCUAUACCCCCACUCCUCCGUACCCCACCAGCAACCCUUCAAAAACAUACACCCACCCAUUCCAUCUUGCCCCUUCAAAAAGAAAAUGGAAAAAAAUAAUUUUGACAUUCGUCGAAGCUCCUCCACCACGCUCCAAAGUUUGUUCGUGAUUUCUCUCCCAUUACACAUCAUUCAUUUUUCCUUCUAGUGCAGAUAGUAAAUAGUACGAGGGUUUAGGACUAUGAAUGGCACAAAAUAAAAAUUAGGCACCGUUUGAUAGCUCUCAUUUUCCAUGGAACUUGGAAAAUAAAUUCCAUUUUCCAUCCUUAAGUGGUUGGAUGGCAAAAAAAUUGGCAUGGAAUUCAUUUUCCACUUCUUGCCUCACGUGAUGGCUUUUCUAGGUUUUUAGUGAAUUACAAUUCCCACCAAAUGGUGGGAAUUGCUUUUCUAACUUUUUUUUUUCAAUGAAAACAAAUUCUAGAAAUAAUUGAAAAAGAGAAUAUCUUUUAAAUUGACAAUUUUAAUGGAAAACAAAGUCAAACGAAUACUAAAAUAUAAAUGAUUUUUGGUUUUGCUGGAUUUUUUUUUUUUUUUUUUGUAAUGGAAACAAAUUCUAUAAAUAAUUGUAAAAGAAUAUAUCCCUUAAAUUGACAAUUUUCAUGAAAAACAAAAUCAAACGAAUACCAAGAGACACUUUAAUUUCAAUAUUUUCUAGGUGAAAAAUUAUACCAAUCAAACACUAUUAAUUGACAAUUCUCAUNNNNNNNNNNNNNNNNNNNNNNNNNNNNNNNNNNNNNNNNNNNNNNNNNNNNNNNNNNNNNNNNNNNNNNNNNNNNNNNNNNNNNNNNNNNNNNNNNNNNNNNNNNNNNNNNNNNNNNNNNNNNNNNNNNNNNNNNNNNNNNNNNNNNNNNNNNNNNNNNNNNNNNNNNNNNNNNNNNNNNNNNNNNNNNNNNNNNNNNNNNNNNNNNNNNNNNNNNNNNNNNNNNNNNNNNNNNNNNNNNNNNNNNNNNNNNNNNNNNNNNNNNNNNNNNNNNNNNNNNNNNNNNNNNNNNNNNNNNNNNNNNNNNNNNNNNNNNNNNNNNNNNNNNNNNNNNNNNNNNNNNNNNNNNNNNNNNNNNNNNNNNNNNNNNNNNNNNNNNNNNNNNNNNNNNNNNNNNNNNNNNNNNNNNNNNNNNNNNNNNNNNNNNNNNNNNNNNNNNNNNNNNNNNNNNNNNNNNNNNNNNNNNNNNNNNNNNNNNNNNNNNNNNNNNNNNNNNNNNNNNNNNNNNNNNNNNNNNNNNNNNNNNNNNNNNNNNNNNNNNNNNNNNNNNNNNNNNNNNNNNNNNNNNNNNNNNNNNNNNNNNNNNNNNNNNNNNNNNNNNNNNNNNNNNNNNNNNNNNNNNNNNNNNNNNNNNNNNNNNNNNNNNNNNNNNNNNNNNNNNNNNNNNNNNNNNNNNNNNNNNNNNNNNNNNNNNNNNNNNNNNNNNNNNNNNNNNNNNNNNNNNNNNNNNNNNNNNNNNNNNNNNNNNNNNNNNNNNNNNNNNNNNNNNNNNNNNNNNNNNNNNNNNNNNNNNNNNNNNNNNNNNNNNNNNNNNNNNNNNNNNNNNNNNNNNNNNNNNNNNNNNNNNNNNNNNNNNNNNNNNNNNNNNNNNNNNNNNNNNNNNNNNNNNNNNNNNNNNNNNNNNNNNNNNNNNNNNNNNNNNNNNNNNNNNNNNNNNNNNNNNNNNNNNNNNNNNNNNNNNNNNNNNNNNNNNNNNNNNNNNNNNNNNNNNNNNNNNNNNNNNNNNNNNNNNNNNNNNNNNNNNNNNNNNNNNNNNNNNNNNNNNNNNNNNNNNNNNNNNNNNNNNNNNNNNNNNNNNNNNNNNNNNNNNNNNNNNNNNNNNNNNNNNNNNNNNNNNNNNNNNNNNNNNNNNNNNNNNNNNNNNNNNNNNNNNNNNNNNNNNNNNNNNNNNNNNNNNNNNNNNNNNNNNNNNNNNNNNNNNNNNNNNNNNNNNNNNNNNNNNNNNNNNNNNNNNNNNNNNNNNNNNNNNNNNNNNNNNNNNNNNNNNNNNNNNNNNNNNNNNNNNNNNNNNNNNNNNNNNNNNNNNNNNNNNNNNNNNNNNNNNNNNNNNNNNNNNNNNNNNNNNNNNNNNNNNNNNNNNNNNNNNNNNNNNNNNNNNNNNNNNNNNNNNNNNNNNNNNNNNNNNNNNNNNNNNNNNNNNNNNNNNNNNNNNNNNNNNNNNNNNNNNNNNNNNNNNNNNNNNNNNNNNNNNNNNNNNNNNNNNNNNNNNNNNNNNNNNNNNNNNNNNNNNNNNNNNNNNNNNNNNNNNNNNNNNNNNNNNNNNNNNNNNNNNNNNNNNNNNNNNNNNNNNNNNNNNNNNNNNNNNNNNNNNNNNNNNNNNNNNNNNNNNNNNNNNNNNNNNNNNNNNNNNNNNNNNNNNNNNNNNNNNNNNNNNNNNNNNNNNNNNNNNNNNNNNNNNNNNNNNNNNNNNNNNNNNNNNNNNNNNNNNNNNNNNNNNNNNNNNNNNNNNNNNNNNNNNNNNNNNNNNNNNNNNNNNNNNNNNNNNNNNNNNNNNNNNNNNNNNNNNNNNNNNNNNNNNNNNNNNNNNNNNNNNNNNNNNNNNNNNNNNNNNNNNNNNNNNNNNNNNNNNNNNNNNNNNNNNNNNNNNNNNNNNNNNNNNNNNNNNUUUUUUUUUUUUUUAAUUUCUAUUUUUUGCUUUACACAAAAGAAGAAGGAGAAGACGUCAUUGCAUAUGGAGAAUGAUUAUAAAGAAUGAGAAGAAACUUAUAGUAAUGAUGACGACGACGGGAAUGGAAUAUUUUGGAUGUUUUAAAAACCACUCAAAAUCGUUGUGGUGUAAUUUUGACCCUUUCUCCCAACCCAUCAAAUCAACGGUUUUUACCAUUUCUCAUAUUAUUUUCUGAUUUUACAAUCAGCAUAUUUUAUUCAAAACUGGCUCGUAAAUAAAAAUGCAUUAAUUAAAAAAAUUAUUUAUAAGCAAAUUACGAUAUCAUUAAAAAUUACUUAUAAGUAAAAUAACUUUUGUAUAAUAAAUUGUUUUAAGGUAAAAACACUACUAAUAAGAUAAAAAUUAAUUAUAAGUAAAAAUUCACUUAUGUGUUAAAAUUGUUUAAAAGUAACUUAUAAGUAAAAUAUACUAACUUAAAAUUUUGAGUAAAAUAUUAACUUAUAUGUAAAAAAAUUACAUAUAAGUAAAAUAUCACUUAUAAGUAAAAUAAAUAUCAUAUAAGAAAGGAUAAAUUGGAAUUCACUAGGGGACAUAUGUGAAAGGGAUAUAUAUGUAAUUUUAUUUUUUUAAAAGACUUUUAGAUUCGGUAGAUAAUAAACUCCCAAGCAUGAGCUGGAUUGUUUUAAAAAUUGCUAUUCAAAUCACUCAAAAUCAAUUCGUUCAUAAACGUUCAAAAUUGGCACUUUAAAAAAAGUCCAUAAUCACUACCCUAAAACUCCCGAGCAAGCCCUUAAUAUCCUUGCAAUAGUGAUGGAGACUAGUAAUUUGAAAACUUAUUAUUUAUUAUUGAAUUAAUUUUUUAUGUUUAUCUGGAAGUUAAAAUUUAAUUUUUAUUCGUUUGUUUUAUCAUAGAUCUUUUUAGAAAUGGUUUAUUAUGUGCAUUUUUUUUUAUAUUCUUUUAAAUUAUUUUAUUAAUUAUUCUUGAAGCUUACGCCUCUCACCUAAUAUAGAUAAAAAUCUUAUUACCCAAUUUACCCUUAUGGUAAUGGCUUCUUUGUUGUGUCAAUGUGGUGGGAAAGAAGUAGUACUAUGUACGUGUGGGGAGCUUUGCAAAUUUCUUACUAAUAAGUCCAUGUAAUAAGAGAAUAUUAUAUGGAAAUAAAAUUGGCUACACAUGCACAUGCUUGUAGUGGUACGAGUGUAAAUGUUGUUGGGGGAUGAUUGCUUAGAAUAAUGAAACGUGGUAAGCUUGGACGCAAAGAUUUCAUUUAAAAACAAUGCGGCUUUCCUAUAAAAUGGGAACAGAGAUUUGAAUAGCGAUUUUUAAAUCCUCACUUAGUGCUUAAAUAUUUUAGCACACGCUCAUAGAACACACACUAUGAAUGAAACACAUCCAUGCCUAUUUAUAAUUGUUGUAAGGCGGAUUAUAUAGCCGUAUAUUGUUGGCCACUUAAAAAAAUACAUCUCGCAUUUCUCCUUAUAGAAAGAUGAAAAGUCAAACAUGACUUUGACCAUUCAAUAUGCUUUUUCUUCUUGCUUGUUUGGUGACAUUACUUGUUUGACUAGCCAUUGAAUUUUUUUAUCCUCUAAAAAGUAAAAUUAAACUUUGUCUUCACCUCUAUCGAUCUCCCACUUGGAGACAUACCAAAUCACAGUGACUAUGCCUUCAUCCUCAAAUUCAAAAACUAACUGAAGUUGAACAGGACUAAUGGUUCUUAUAGACCUGCUCAUAGGAAUUAUGGUUAGCCUCUCUGUGGGUGGUGUCAACUGGACAUUCAUAUCUUAGGGUUUUAACACAUCUCUACUAGAGAUCUCCUCAAGCUUCAUUGUCUCAUGUUCCUUUGUCUUAUCAUCAAGUCUAUCCUUGUCCAUGAUAGACUUAUUGAACACAACAUCUAUGAUACCGGACUCUCCAAAAAUGGAGAAGUAUCCGUGUCGACACGACAUGACACGGAUAUUGACACGGGAUAUGGAUCGAAUCAUCGGUUUUGCACUUGGACACGGCAUCAAAAGGAAGAAGAAGACGACGGAAAGUGGAGUCUUGCAAUCGGCUUGCGUCUAUGGCGAUUAUUUAGCUUCACGUCUAUGUAGAUUGUUGCUUCUGGCUUUGCUUGUGGCUUUACAAAGAAAAUAAAGCAGAGAAGUUGGGGAAGAAAGAAGAGAAUAGAUGGGGAAGAUGACGGGUGCCCUAAUUAAUUGGUUGAAGUGGACUUUUGGAAUGCUAUUGUAAAACCCAAUGUAAAAUGGGCUUUUGGAAUGCUCUUGUAAAACCCAAUGUAAAAAUUUAAGAAAAUGUCAAUUAUUAUAUUGGGAUAAGUUUAUUUUUGUACUAAUUCUUUCUUAUAUUUUUUUAUUUUGUAAUUAAAAUGGUUUAGUCUUAUAUUUUUUCAUAUUAAAUUUAAAUUUAUUUCUAUAAUUGUUUUUAAAUAAUAUAUAAAACAUUGAAAUUGAUUUUUUCCUUUAAUUUGUUUGAAAAGAAUUUGUUUUGUCUUUAAAUUUAAAUUGAUUUCAAAUUAUAACCCAAUUGUUUAAGUUGAUUCUAUCGAAAGAGUUGAUAAACAAACUAAACUAUGAGUUCAUUUUUUGACAACCAAUGCCAAUUAAUUUGUGUACAAGAAAUGAAAAUUUAAAUGGAUCUAUUCUAAAUGGUUGUUCAAUAUUUAUUUUUGAGUUCCUUGGUGUACUUAUUUUUUUUGUUUCUUAUUUUUAUUCAUGUCAACUUUUUAUAAAGUAAUUAAAACAUGACAAAUUCAGUAUUAUUAAUUAUAAAACUAAAAAUACUUACAUUAAAAUAAAAUAACAUAAUUGUUCUGUUAUUAAAAAAAAUAAAAUUGUAAGAUAUAUCCCCAUACUUAUAUCCAAAAUUCGGAUCCUUUUUAACUGUAUCCUCAUAUCUUAAUUUUUAAAAUAAGAAGAAUCCAACUCCUAGAUAUGUACCUAUAUUCGACACCCGCACUCGAGUCCGAGCAACAUAGCACAACAUCCAUGCUCUUAAUUAUUUUUCGAUUUUCAUAAUCUCAAAAUCGAUAACUAUAAUUAUCGGAGCCAUAACCAAUAAAGAUGAAUCUACGAGACUUAUGAUCAAGCUUAUUCCUAUUCUCAGGUUCAUUGUGAACAUAUUCUUAAAUGCAAUAAGUUCACCUCUUUUCCGGUCUAUGCCAUCCUAGGAUUCCGUAAUUCAAGAGAACUAAAGGACCUCUGGAUAAGCAGCUGUGUUUACUGCAUUUGCCCAAAAGUGCUUUGGUAAACCAGAAUUAAUCCUCAUACUUCUAAAACUUUUCUUUUUUUUAAUUCUAAUUCUUUGAAAUUAUACAAUUUUACCCUAAUCAACCGACUUUAUCGAGGAAAAAAUACUUUCUUAGGCCAAGAAGUUGAUAGCAAGAUCUCAAAUCAACUUAUUGGUCUUAUGGUAUUUCUCAGUAUCGAGGGUGAUACCAAUCCAUCAAUGGUGUGAUAUUGCCUGGAAAAGCUUUCUCCAGGGUGCCUGGUCUUGUGCUCGCUCAUGCGGGGACUUUAAAGAUCUUAGAUCUGGUGGAGAUUGGGCCAUCCCUCUUGACAUUUAGCACGUUCCAGGAUUUUCAGUAGAUUCGUGAAUAAUCCUAGCAAGGAACAUUGGGAAGCUAUUAAGUGGAUAUUGCGAUACAUUAAGGGUACUAGGGAUAUAGCUCUUCGUUAUGGUGGCUGGCUCAAAGAUAGGUUUGUAUGGAUAUGUUGAUUCUGAUUUUGUUGGAAAAAUUGAUAGUAGAAAGUGUACGAUUGGCUAUGUGUUUAUUCUUGAAUGUGCUACAAUUAGUUGGGUUUCUUCCCAGUUACAAAAGAUUAUAACCAUUUCUACCACAGAGGCAGGGUAUGUUGCAAUGACAAGAGAUUGGAAGGAAAUGGUAUGGUUUCAUAAUUUCUUAAGUGAAUUGGGCAAGAAUCUUGAUGACUACAAGUUGUAUAAUGAUAGUCAAAGUGUUAUACAUGUUGCAAAGAGUUAUACGUUUCACUUAAGAACAAAUCAUAUUGACAUUAAAUACUAUCUUGUUCGUUCGCUCUUAGAAGAUGGUAAAAUUAAUUUGGAGAAGAUCCACACUUUGGAAAUUUUGCAGUUAGGUUAACAAAGGUAGUUACUAUUGAGAUAUUGAAGUCUUGUUCAACUUCAAUUGGUCUUUGUACUUGAUGAUAAAGGCGGGAGUCAUUGCGGCUUGAUAUUUGUCUCCAAGUAGGAGAUUGAUAGAGGUAGAGACAAAGUUUAAGUUUACUUUUUAUAGAAUAUGGUCAGUAGUUGAUAGAGGUGAAGACAAAGUUUAAUUUUACUUCUUAGAGGAUAAAAAAAAAAAUUUAAUGGCUUGUCAAACAAGUAAUGCUACCAAACAAGCAAGAAGAGAAAGCCCAUUGGAUGGUCAAAGUCAUGUUAGACUUUUCAUCUUUUUAAAAGGAAGAAUACGCUCUGUAUGUUGUUAAGUGACUAGCAAUGCACAAUUAUACAAAUCGCCAUACACACCUAUAAAUAGGCUUGGAUGUGUUUCAUUUAUAAUGUGGGUUCUAUGAGUGUAUCUUAAAAUAUUUGAGCAUCAAAUGAGGAUUUGAGAAAGAUAAGAGUUUGUUAUUAAGAUACUUUGAAGCUUCUCUUUGAAACUCAUCUUGUAAUCCUCUAUUCCUAUUUUAUAGUAAAGUCGCAUUAUUUAUUAAGUGAAAUCUUUGUGUCCAAGUUUUGCUAUCUUUCAUUAUCUUGAGCAAUCAUUUCUAAGAAAUAAAAUUUAAUGAUUGGUCAAAUAAUGCUACCAAAUGCGCCCAAUUUUUCCAUGGGGUGGCUAAUUCUAUCAAGCACAACAAAUUUAUCACUAUGUUGGAGAUAGAUGGGGUUAUGAGAAUUCACGGGAUAUUGGGACCUAAAUAAUAAAUUUCUAUCAAACACUUUAUCAGGAGCAGUUUGAUUGAAGGUCGAGUUGGAGGGGGUAGAUUUUUCUACUAUUAUUGAGGAUGCCCGUCAGUUAGAGAGACUAUUUGGGGAGGAUGAAACUAAGGAGGAGGUGUUCAGCAUGAAUGAUGAUAAGGCCCUUGGACCGGUUAAAUUCUCUCUCUCAUUUUAUAAGGCUUUUUAGGUUGUUCAAGAUUAUUGCGAAGAUUUAGCGAACAAAUUUAAGGUGCAGGGGAAGUGGCUUCUAAGUUUCAAAAUGCUUUUGUUAAAGAGCGUCAUAUUUUAGAUUCCGUACUUAUAGCAAAUGAAUGCAUUAACUCAAGACUAUGCCUAGGGUUCUAGGAAUGUUAUGUAAGUUUGACAUUCAGAAGGCUUAUGAUCACGUAAAUUGGGGAUUUCAUUUGUAUAUGCUGAGGCAAUGUGGCUUCGAGGAUAAGUGGUGCUAGUGGAUCGAGUUUUGUAUCUCUACAGCUUCUUUCUCAGUUAUGGUGAACGGCACUCCGGAAGGUUAUUUUCGUAGCAGCAUAGGAUUGAGGCAAGGGGAUCCUUUGUCUCCAUUGCUAUUCGUCAUUGUAAUAGAAGCUUUUAAUAAGAUGCUUGAGAAGGCUUUGGGGGAGAGUUUGUCAAGGGGCUUUAUGGUUGAGCAAUUGCAGGCAUGUCAUUUGUUAUUUGCAAAUGAUAUGCUGAUCUUCUGUGAUGCAAAUGUUGAGCAAUUUUGUAGUAGAAAAUGGUAAUAUUAUCAAUUUUUGGGAUGAUUAUUGGUGUUGAGAUCAAUCGUUAUGGGUGAGAUUUCCUUUGUAUCGUAUUGUGUUGGUGCCAUCUAUCAUGGUAAAUGGUCUUAAAUAUACAUAAUAGGAGUCUCGGUUGGAAUUGCAGGAUUGGGAAUUGGAUGAUUAUGCAAUGCUAUUGACAUCUUUGUACAAGGCACACAUCAGGUGGGAAAGGGUGAUUGUAGCUUGUGGAGGUUGACACGGUAUGAUAUUCUUUUCAUUGACACUUAUUUUAUAUCCUUAUUGGGACCUGUGGAGAUUUCAUCUGGAAGACGGUAUGGAAACGCCUCCACGGGUGGCAUUUUUACUCUGGACAAGAGGACAGGUGUUAACGGUGGAUAUCCUUCGAACAAAGGGUUUUUAUCUUACAAAGUGGUGCUAUAUGUGUAGGGGGAUGGGGAGACAAUUGACAACUUAUUCCUUCAUUGUAUUGCUGCUCAUUUGCUGUGGAACGAUAUUCUGGCAUCUCAGUACAUGGAUUGGGUGUUGUCGAGGCGUAUGGAAGAUGUGUUAAAGACAUAGAGGAGAAAAUUUCGCGGUAAGGAUAACAAGCUUUUAUAGACCUUAUUCUGGGAUGCAUCUUAUGGUGUGUAUGGAGAGAGAAAUAGCCGUUAUUUUGGUGAUCAAACACGGACAAUAGAACAAAUUAGAGAAUUGUUUUAUUUGACAUUAUAUAAUUAGUUUAAUGUUGUGGCUACUAGACAUAUAGACAGGUUGUCCAAUUUCAUAUUCCUUUUUAGUUUAAAUUGAUAACACACUUUUUGUGUAUGUAUUAUGCAUUCAUGAAUAAAAUAUUUGAUUAUCUUUCAAAAAAAUGUAAUGCUACUAAACAAGAAAGAAGAGGAAGCCUAUUGGAUGGUCAAAGUCAUAUUUGACUUUUCAUCUUUUUAAAAGGAGGAAUGCUCACUGUAUUUUGUUAAGUGGCCAGUAAUAGACAGCUAUACAAACCGCCUUACAACAUCUAUAAAUAAGUUUGGAUGUGUUUCAUUCAUAGUGUGUGUUCAAUAAGUGUGUGCUGAAAUAUUUGAGCACUAAGAAUUUGAGAAAGAUAGUUAUGGAGAGAGAGAGAGAGAGAGAGAGUUUGAGAUACUUUAUAACUUUUUAAAAUUCAUCUUGUAAUUUACUGUUCUUAUUUUUUAUAAUAAGACCGCAUUAUUUUUUGAGUCAAAUCUUUAUGUCUAAAUUUUGCCAUCUUUUAUUAUCUUAGGCAAUCAUAUCCAACAAUUGGUAUCAAAGCUCUAGGUCAAUUUGGUAGAGCAUGUGAACGUAUCAACUGUAGUUACAUUCAAUAGUAGCUGAGUUGCAACUAUAUCAAUGAUGGUAGAAGACUGAAACGUCAAGAUCAAAAAAUUCAAUGCUACGAACUUCAGAUCAUGGAAGAUCCAAAUAGAAGAUUAUCUCUACCAAGAUCUUUAUUUUCCUCUUGAAGGAGCAUCAAAGAAAUCUGUGGAUAUCAAAAGGAGUUGGGAAUUACUUGAAUGUAAAUCCUUAGGUGUGAUAAGGCCGACUCUUGUUGCUUUCAAUAUUAGAAAUGAAAAGACAAUCAAAAGUUUGAUUGCAGCUUUAUCACUAAUGUCUGAGAAGCCCUCUGCAACUAAUAAAGUCUUACUAAGAAGUUAUUCAACUUGAAGAUGUUCGAGGGAGGAGUUGCAUCAAUGAUUUCAAUGCACUUAUAAGUUAGUUGGAAUCGUUUGAUAUCUCAUUUGACGAUGAGGUCAAAGCAUUAGCAUUGUUAUCAAGUCUUCCUGAGAGUUAGAAUCCUUUGGUUGUGGCAAUGAGCAAUUUCACGGGUUUGGCAAAGUUAAAACCAGAUUGUGUUGUAGAUUUGGUUCUUAGCGAAGAUACUCAUAGAAAAGAUGGUGGAGAAACCUUGGAUUUGGCUUUGGCAACUGACGCUAGAGGUAGAAAGCUAAACAGAGGUGGCAACAACAGGCAAAACACAAGUCGAUCGAGAAAUGGUCAACAACAAUCUCGAUCAAAGUUCAAAGGCUAGUAUUGGAACUGCGAAAUAUGUGGUAACACAAAGCAAGAUUAUAGAGCACUACAAAAGCAAGACAACUACCAAGGAGAUGAAAACUUUGUUAAUGUUUCAGAUGAUGAAAAUUCUGAUGCAUUUUUGUUAGUAGUGGAUGCUUACAGAGAAUCUUGGUUAAUUGAUUUAGGUGCAUCAUUUCAUGCCACUUCGCACAACCCCGCCCCGCCUUGCCUUAGAUGGGCAGUGGCUUGCCCCGUUUGUUGCCCCUUUUAUAUAUAUAUAUUUAAUAUUUCAAAAUUUCGAGUUAUGCUAUUAUUAGAGAAUAAAAUACAAAUUCAAAAUUUUAAAAUCCAAAGCAAAUAAUCUAGAACUAAUAAUUUUUAUUUUUUUUAACUUCACGGGGCGGGUUAUUUUGCCAUUUCUAUAACUAUGUACUAGGCAAUCUCGAUAAGGUGUAUCUUGGAAACAAUGAGAUUUGUAACAUAGUUGACAAAUGAGAUGUUCAAAUAAAUCAACCUAAUGAACUACCCUUAAGAAUCAAGGAUGUUAGACAUGUGCUAUGUCUGCAGAAGAAGCUAAAUUCUUUGGGUCAACUUUUUGACUCUGGUAUUGCAACAACUUUUGUUGGUGACACUUGGAAGAUGACUAGAGGAGCAAUGAUGGUAACUCAUGAAGGAAGGUACUCUCUAUGUUACGUUUGGUACUUAUGGUUCCAUUGGCACUACAUCAUUAGAAAUCGAGGCGACCACGUGCCAUCAUAAACUUGGACAAAUGAGAGAGAAAUGGAUGAAGGUACUGAUGUCACAAGGGAAACUAUUAGGUUAGAAGUCUCUAGACUUGGAUUUACGUGAAGAUUGCAUCUUUGAAAAAGCAAAGAAGGGUUAGUUUCACAUAAGUUCAAAGCAGACACAAGUCAACACAGUUGGAGUUGGUGCAUACAGAUGUAUGGGGACCAUCUCAAGUAACAUCUCUUGGUGACUCAAAAAUGGUCUUGGAUGUGUUUUAUUCACAGUGUAUUCAAUAAGUGUGUGCUAAAAUAUUUUAGCACUAAGAAUUCGAGAAAGAUAGAGUUAGUUAUUGAGAGAGUUCGAGAUACUUUGUAACUCUUUGAAAUUCAUUUUGGAGUCCUCCGUUGCUAUUUUAUAGUAAAGCCGCAUUAUUUCUUGAGUGAAAUCUUUGUGUUCAAGUUUUGCUAUCUUUCAUUAUCCUAGGCAGUCAUUCCCAACACUUGCCGCAUGAAUCAAUGAAUUUUCAUGUGUAGUGGUUUGGUUAUUAACUUUUCCUGUCUAGUACCUCUUUUGCUUCUGCAAGUUUGUGUGUCAUCUUAAUUUUCAUAUAUCAAUGGGUUUUAAUUUCAUUGUUUCUAAGUAAAUUAACAUGUGUCAACAGGGAGCAAGCAUUAUUGGGAGUUCGUUCUAUUUCAACUCAAAUCGGUAAGCAGCAUUUUUGAAUCUAUAUGUGCAAAGUCAGUUAUUUUAUAUUUAUAAUCUUGUUUAGUUUUACACAAUUACUGCUCGUCAAAUUAUUAGUUGAGGAUUAAUGUUUAUGGUCAUGAUACAUAUCUGCAGUCCGCAACCGUAUGAGGAGUGUUAAGAACAUUCAGAAAAUAACUAAGGCAAUGAAGAUGGUUGCAGCCUCAAAGCUUCGAGCAAUUCAAACUAGAGCUGAAAACUCACGUGGGUUAUGGCAGCCAUUCACUGCUCUUCUCGGUGACACUCCAAGUAAGUUCAUUAAUAAUUCUGAUUAUGUUUCAGUCCUACUGAGGUUUUAUUAUCUUAUGCCCCUGCUUCCACAAGCUCUUAGCAUACUUUACUCUACUUUUAUAAUUUUUAAUUAUUCAUUUUCAACAUCAGAAAUCCUUGUAUUUUUGUUGUUGUCCCUACUGUAGCAUACGCUGACCACAUUAAACAUUGUAGUAGAUUUUUCUUUUAUUUUCUGAAAAUAGUUUUAGGGUUUCCUAUUGAAAUUCAAUUCUCAGCCAUUGUACCUUAGGUGUAGUUAAAAAAUAAAUAUUUAGACCUUCUCAAAGAUCAGAUGUUAUUGCUCUUACGCGGUGACUUCACUCUGGAACCUGUACGCCUUCUGUUUUUUACCCUCAGAAAGUAUAUUGAAAAAAUAAUUAUUUAGACCGUCAACAGUAAAGAUCAGAUGUUCUACCUCGAGGUGAUUUUACUUUGGGAACUGUACUUAUGCUUUUUGUUUGUUUUUUACCCUCUCGUUUUAGUGAAAUAUAAUGGAUUUUGGAGCACUUGGAGUUUUUAAAGAAAUGGAAUUAUAUAAAAAGAGAGGAAAAAAAACUGGGAGAAAGUCUUUCAUAUACAGAACUUGUUAUUCUCUCUUCUAAGACUUACCUUUCCUUGCGUUCUUAUGCAUUAGGUGUUGAUGUCAAGAAAAAUGUUAUUGUUACAAUUACUUCGGAUAAAGGUCUUUGUGGUGGUAUUAACUCUACAUCUGUCAAGAUAAGCAGGGGUCUUCGUAAGUUAAAUUCAGGUACGUUAUAAGUUUGCCAUUGCACUGAGCUCUUUUGUCAUCUAUGAGCAUUGCUGUCAUAAAUUUUAUUUGUUCUCUACAAAGGUCCGGACCAGGAAAGUAAAUAUGUCAUUUUGGGAGAGAAGGCCAAGGCCCAACUUGUGCGAGACUCCAAGAAACACAUUGAGUUAAUUAUAACUGAGUUGCAGAAGAAUCCUCUAAACUAUACUCAGGUUGUCUUCUGAACAGAUAUGCUUGAUGAAUACCUAAGACUCCCCCCACCCCCAUCCCUGUCCCAUUUCCACCCUGAUUAUAUUGUGGAAAAUGCUGCUACAAUUUUUGUAGAAUGCUCAAUGUCCUUAUCUUUCCAACUUCAAGUAAGAGGUUUAGUUAUUAGGUUGAGUAGUUGUAGAAUAGCCGAAGUCAGACAGACUGGACGUUAGCAAAGCUCAUACUUGAUUAGCUUAUGAUCUUUGAUCUUGAUUAAAAUGGAAACGUGAAUACGUCAUUGAGUAUUGCUUUUAGACAAAAGUCGUUGGUUCACCUUGACAUGGUAUAGAAUUUUUCCCCGUCUUAUUUACUUGUUUACACAUGUUUUAGAGUAUGAUAUUGUUUGGAGGUAAAUAAAUUUAGGCCAUAUUGGACUUUUUUGCUUAUAAGCUGUGGGCCUCACAGUUGUGCGUAUUUUGGUCCACAUAGUUUGUGGGAUCCUAAAGCUUAUAAUAAAUGCCAAAGAUGCUCUUAGACAAUCUGCUAUCCUCUGGAUCACGAAGGCUCGAGUACAAAGAAUGAUUAGCCAAAUGUGGGUAUUUAUGCUCAUUUUAGUUUGAAACGAGAUACAGUCGAUAAAUUUGGUUUGAGGAACGAACCUGAAUAAACUUAUUGGCCAACCAGAAUAAGCUGAUUAUACUGUUGUAUUCAUUUGCAGCCCCACUUGUGGCAUUGAGUAUUCCAAUAACAAAAGAAGCCUUAUUGUUAAUAAAAUUGAGGCUACAUGAAUCUUUUCAUUGGUGAUUUCUGUUCAUUACUACGUUUAGUGUUAGUCUACCACUCACUCACUCUUCUAACUAUUCGACGAGAUCACAUCACUCUUAAUAUCAGGAGUUUUCUUAUUAUUAGGAGUUUUCUUCGAGUCUAGAAAAUACAUAGCCCAAUCACCUAAAUUGUCAUGCCCUUAUAAUACCCUUGGCGAGUGUAGCGUCCACUUGUUGGCAUAUAUUCUCAUUUCUUAGCUUAUCCAUUCUAUUAUGGCCACCCAUUCAUCUUAGCAUCUUAAUAUCUUUUCAGUUCAUCUUGUGGACAUUUGUGCCUUUCAAGAAACCGACAUUCACUAGCAUUUUUGUCCUCUGUUUCUAUUUAUUACAUCCUCUUAAUUCCUCCUUGUUAAUAAUCAAACCUAUAUAAUUAAACAAUAACGCUUUGGGACAACAUUGCUGGUGUCCUAAUUCCUAUAACUUUUCAUGAUAUUUAGUAAUAACUAAUAUGUAUAUAAUCUUUAUUUCGUCUGCAUUCACUUUACUAGAUUAGGACCAAAUUUCUGAUGGCAAUAUGGAACUGGAAUUUCUGUUUGGUCUCUACUUUAGUGUCCAGUCUGAUUGAUGGACUAAAAAGGCUUGCUGAAGAAACUUAAUUGAUAAGCAAAUUGUGUAUUAAGCCACAGGAAUUUCAACUGUUUAUACUAUCUUUUUGAUAACUUUUUUCAUGUCCUAUUGCUGCCACUGCAGGUUUCUGUACUUGCAGAUGACAUUUUAAAGAAUGUAGAGUAUGAUGCAUUGAGGAUUGUUUUCAACAAGUUCCAAUCCGUUGUCUCUUUUCUGCCAACAACAGCAACUGUGUUAUCCCCCGAGGUCAUUGAUAAGAUCAACUUAAUUUACUAAAGCAAGCAUUUCGGUGACUGCUUUUAAUUGUAGAUUCUAAUUUGCUGCAAUCCUGAUAUAGGUCGUUGAGAGAGAAGCUGAAUCUGGGGGAAAACUUCGGGAAUUAGACUCCUACGAAAUUGAAGGAGGUGAAACAAAGUCAGAAGUACUGCAGAAUCUCACAGAAUUCCAGUUUUCCUGUGUAUGUUUGAACUUUCUGAUUGAUUGUUAUAUAUUUGUUGGAAAGAUAAAACUUACGAUCUAACUUGUGCUUAAUCCCAUCUAAUAUGAAAGCCACAGAGCUUCAGAAUCUAUCUGACAUCCAUUUUUCCUGUGUAUGAUAUACCUUUCUGAUUGAAUUUUAUAUAUUCAUAGGAAAGGUGGCCUUAGGAACUAUUUCUCAUUAUAGCUUUCCAUCAAGUUUGAGACAGUUUUAAUGUUUUCUUCAGGUUAUGUUCAAUGCGGUCCUAGAAAAUGCUUGCAGUGAGCAAGGAGCCAGAAUGUCUGCAAUGGACAGCUCCAGCAGAAAUGCAGGAGAUAUGCUCGAUCGCCUCACUCUUGCUUAUAACAGGUACGCUUGACAGUUUAUUCAAAUACCCAAAUCAUGUUCAUAAUGCUUAUUUGAUUUUUGAUCCAUCAGGGGAUGAGAUAGAAAUAUGAUAAACCUUUUUCCUGUGUUCUUCUUGUUCUCCAAUUUGAUCGGUCUUUACUUCUAUGUUCUAUCAGAACCCGUCAAGCAUCUAUCACUACAGAGCUGAUAGAGAUUAUAUCUGGAGCAUCAGCACUGCAGGGUUGAUUCAACAAAUCUUGUGCAGCCUCCCUCGUCUACCCUCUUCCAACAAUGAUGAAAUAAAGAAAAUACUGCAAAGGUUUUGCAGUUUUGAGGAUGUGGUAUUGAGUUUUUUGGUUUAUCUUUUAGCAAUCUCCCUGCCUGAUCUCAUUUCUGGGGAAUACUUGUGUGUUAAGAUUGUCACGAAAACCUGGUUACCUUUUCAUCUGUUUUCCGAAGUAAAUUUCUGCUGUGCUUUCUUGGCUUCGGUUAUGUCAUAUGUGUUGGGUUGUUAAUGAGGAUGGAAGGAAGCUCCUCUGAAUUUACAUUUUUCUCAACCUAGUUAUAAUGGCAGUUAGUUUGACUAAGUCGUAUCAGUUCUAGAAUUUUAGUUCAAUUUAAAUUAAUUUUAGCAGAUCAAAGUACAAUGCCACUCUACUCUCUUUCUGGCCUCAGCUAAAAUAUGGAUCAUCAACCCAAGUGAAUUGCUGUUAUAUUUUUAUUAUGUACGUGCUGUGCAACUGCAUGCGUGCAACAGGCAAGGAGACCUCUAGUUGAAGGAGUUGUUUGACAGUUCCAUUUGAUGAUUUGGUGGAGUCGUACUUUUGCAAGAUUGUUAUGUUAAAAUUGGUAAGUUGCCCCAAUCUACUUAAAUGAAGCAAAUCAACCAUGCAACUCGUUGUGAUGUCGAGCUUUUUACCAUAGGAAGGUGCCCAUAUGGUUCUACUAUUUCUUUUAACAACUUUGUAACCUCGAACGGAGAUUAGAAGUGUUUUUACAAUGGGUUUUUUGGCAUUGUUAUGUCCAUUUCAAGUCAAGAGUUAGGAGCACAGUCUGCAUGACAAAGUGGUCGCGAUGAUAUGCUAUUCUAAUUCAGAAAAUUACCUGCUACGGCCUUGCUUUGGAGUCCGGGCCCUUUUUUGGUUUUCCCGUCUGAUUUUUGCUUGUUUUACAAUCUCCAAGCUUAACAAUAUUGUUUGGCAUUGUUUUAUUAUUAUUUCUUUUUUCUUUUUUUUUGGAUGACGGGAGAACCCACAGCCAUUACUAUUCGGGUGUGCACUGGGUAAACUUUCGGACUAACGCAAUAGCCUGCAAAUCACGCCAAUCAUGUAAAUUGCACUACUAGACAAGCCCGGUGCGAUAGAAAAGCCAAGCUUAACAAUAUUAGCGAACUGUCUUUUUUUUUUUUUUUUGUUUUUUAUUAUAACGGGGGAACUCGCAGCCACUACCAUUCGGGUGCGUACUAGGUAAACCUUCGGACUAACGCAAUAGCCUGCAAACCACGUCAGUUAGGUAAAUUGCACUCGGCAAGUUCGGUGCGAUAGACUCGAUCGAAAAAGUGUUAGAAAGGGGAAUCGAACUCGUGAUCAAAAGCCUUCGUACUCACUUACUCAACCAACUCGGCCACCCCGUGAGAGGCUUAACAAUAUUAGUGGAGACUCUUUUUUUGUAUUUAUUUUGGUUUUAUUAGCGUAGAAUUUAUAGAUUGUAUAAAAAGUAUUUGGAAAUAAGAAAUAUUUGUUUGAUUCUCAUUUUUUGGUUAACUGUAUAUUUUAUGUCACGAUAAUUUAUUUUUAUUCUUAUAAAUAAGUAUAAUGAAUGUUGUGAUUGUAUAUAUGUCAACGAUAAUUUAUUUUUAAUUAUUUAUUGUAUUUUUUGUUUAAUGUAGAUGAAGAUUUUUUUUUUUAUCUAAUAUUGCAAAUAAGUUGUAAAUUGAAUUUUGCAAAAUGCUUUUCUUUCACAACUUUGAUUCGAGAGGCUAUACUUGUAGUUCAAAAAUAACCCAUGCAGUUGUAAAUUGAAAGAGAAUAUCCACAUACACAAAUAUUUAAAUAACAAACUCAGGUUCGCACGUAAAAUAACUUGAAAUAGCACUUACUGGAUGGUCAACUCCCUUGAUGGUGUAAGAAUUAGAACCCUAACAACAGGCCUAUUCUUCAGACGAUACAACAGUCACUNNNNNNNNNNNNNNNNNNNNNNNNNNNNNNNNNNNNNNNNNNNNNNNNNNNNNNNNNNNNNNNNNNNNNNNNNNNNNNNNNNNNNNNNNNNNNNNNNNNNNNNNNNNNNNNNNNNNNNNNNNNNNNNNNNNNNNNNNNNNNNNNNNNNNNNNNNNNNNNNNNNNNNNNNNNNNNNNNUUUUUUUUUUUUACUUAUAAAAGUGGUCAGCACGGAGUAAGGCGGAAGGUAUGAAAAGUUGCGUGUUACAUAGAUUCACAUUGCCUCUCUUACACUAUAUAUAUAAUAUAAUAAUAUAAGCAAAUGAGUUGAUUUGAAAAGGCGUGCCAUAGCGUAUGAAAAUGGAGAACAGAAAAGUACAAAAAAAUUUGAAUAAUCCUCCGUGCACGGAAACCACACUAUAUAUAAUUUUUUUUAAUUCUUUUCUCUUCAAUUUUUUUAACCUACAAAUAACUUUUUCGUUAAAAUUGAAAAAUUAAGUUUUAUUUGGAAGAUAAAAGAAUUAAAAAGAAAAAAAUAAUUGGUUUUUUUAAGAAAAAAACGCAUUUUUAACACAUACGUUUAAUUUCCAUUUAACUAUUUUCAAUAUUUAUUUAGAUCAUCUGAUAUCUCUACGAUAUAGUUCUCAAAAUGAGUUUCGAGAGAAUGUAAAACAUUUAUCGAUUUGACUAUCGUACAAUCGUCGACGAAUUUUUAAAGUUAGCUUGUUAUCGAAAAUUUCGAAAUUGUAAUAAAAUAAUUGAUUUUUUUUAAGAAAAAGGACAUGUGCGUAUUUUUUUAACACAUAAGUUUAAUGUCCGUUUAACUAUUUUUGAUAUCUAUUUAGAUCAUUCGAUGUCUCUAAGAUAUAGUUCUCAAAAUGAGUUUCGAGAGAAUGUAAAACAUUUAUCGAUUAGACUAUCGUACAAUCGUCGAUGAAUUUUUAAAGUUAGCUUGUAAUAGAAAAUUUCAAAAUAUAGUUUGAAAAUGCCUACUUUGACGUCCCAUAACAUUUGCUAUGAUUGACCGUUUUACGCACCGUUAACGACGUGCAAUACUAUGCUACGAGUACUUUAAAACGAUAUUAAGAAUGUAAUAUUUCGAUUUCGUUUGAUAUCUCGUAAUGAGCGUGAAAAUAAACUCAAAAAUAUAAGUAAAAAAAAAAUUAAAAAAAAAUCAUUUCUCUCAUGGUCUCUGUGCACGGAGACCUCACGAUCCUCUUAUUUUUUUUCUUUUUUAAAUAAAAAUCAAUACUUCUUUAUACUAUAUAAACUAACUACAAUGAUAUAUAUAUAUAUAUAUAUAUAUAUAUAUUUUUUUUUUUUUUUUUUNNNNNNNNNNNNNNNNNNNNNNNNNNNNNNNNNNNNNNNNNNNNNNNNNNUUUUUUACACAAUUUGAAGUAAACUUUUUACUAUGUAAAGAAAUAUACUUAAAACUUUGAGUUAAUAUUUAAUCUAAAGUAAUAUUUAGAUAAAUUUAAUUUAAAAAAUUCAAUAUUACUAAAAAUAUUACUAUUAAAUUAAAUAUUGUCUGAAAUUAUUUUUAUAUAUAUAUAAAAGUGAUUUUUUUCAUUAAUAAUCAGUAUUUUUUAAUAGUUUGAGAUAAAAUUUAAUUUUUUAGUAAUAAUUUAAUAUAUAAAAUGAUGAAAAAAAACAUAUUCACUCUGUGCAUGAAGAAAAAAAAUUUCGUCAUACCACAUAAUUUUUUUGAGCAAAAUGAUGCGUUGAGAAAAUUGUUGAGAAAAAAGAAUAAAUAGUAAUAAAAUAAUUGAUUUUUUUAAGAAUAAACGACGUAUACGCAUUUUUAACACAUACCACAUAUUUUUUUUUUGAGCAAAAAUUUAGAUCGUCUGAUAUCUAUACGAUAUAGUUCUCAAAAUUAGUUUCGAGAGAAUGUAAAACAUUUAUCGAUUCGACUAUCGUAUAAUCGUCGAUGAAUUUUUAAAAUUAGCUUGUUAUCGAAAAUUUCGAAAUAGUAAUAAAAUAAUUGAUUUUUUAAAGAAAAAACGACUUAUGCGUAUUUUUUAACACAUAUGUUUAAUGUCCGUUUUACUAUUUUUGAUAUCUAUUUAGAUCAUUCGAUGUCUUUACGAUAUAGUUCUCAAAAUGAGUUUCGAAAAAAUGUAAAAUUUUUAUCGAUUCGACUAUCGUACAAUCGCCGAUGAAUUUUUAAAAUUAGUUUGUUAUCGAAAAUUUCGAAAUAUAGUUUGAAAAUGCCUACUUUGACGUCCCAUAACAUUUGCUACGAUUGACCGUUUCACGCACCGUUAACGACGUGCAAUACUAUGCCGCGAGUAUUUCAAAACGAUAUUAAGAAUGUAAUAUUUCGAUUUCGUUUGAUAUCCCGUAAUGAACUUGAAAAUGAACACAAAAACAUAAGUAAAAAAAUAAAAAAUAAAAAAUUCUCUAAAUUUUGUCUCCAUGCACAGAGACACUGUUUCCGUGCAUGGAGACACCUGCCUCUGUGCACGGAGGUUUCAACAAUUUUUUUCCCCCCUUCGUGCACGUAGACAGUGUCUCCGUGCAUGGAGACUAAUGUCUCCGUGCACGGAGAGAUUACCUUCUUCUUCUUUUUUUUUUUUUUUUUUUUUUUUUUUUUUGUUUUUUUUUUUAUUUUUUUUUUUUUUUUUUUAUUUUUUUUUUAUUCAUAACUCAUUCGUUUUUUUUUUUGCUGUGUAGUUUUAGUUAUAAUUUUUUUUUUCAAUUUAUAAUUCUCUUUAAUUCUUUUCUCUUCAAAUUUUUUUAAUAUGUUGUAAAAAAAAUUUCUAUCGCAUAUUAUCUCUAUCUUUUUUUUUAAUAUAAAAGUGACAUUUUUCUUAUAUCCCUAUUAUAUAUAUCUAUAUCGGAGUGGGGAGGAAUGGAAAUUGCGUAUUGCAGUAAAUUUGGAGGUAGUGUACAAUAAAAUAAAAUAUAUAUCAAGCAAACGGCGUCGUUUUUGGCCCCCAGAUUGAAAAAAACAAAAAAAAAUACUACAGUAAAGAUGGAUCAAGACACUGUUGCUUUCUAUAAUGUCCUCACACUCCCCUUUUUUAUAUAGUAGGGAAACUACAAUCCUGUUGAAGUCUCGAUAAUAUAUCAAACGCUCCUUGCGAGUGGAAAUUUUUAAUGCAGGCUUGCAAGCACAUUUUGUACAGAAAAAAAGUUGUCUAUGAGAAUGUAGGUUCAUUAUCACACUGUUUAAUGCAUAACAAUGCAUUCUAAUUUUAUUGGAUAGUCGCAACAUAGCCUGGUAUUAAGCACUCGUGGAGCUAAAUAACGUUACUGAAAAAGCUUUUCAUGCUAUGUGUUCUACGCAAUCACAUUUAGGGGCGAUUUGGACAUUACAUUGGCAUACAUGCAGCCCCUUUUUGGGUAAUUAUAUUUAUACCACGAUUUUUAUUUCUUACGCUACAUUUUAAUUGCACUUACGUACUCAAUAUUUACUCAUUAUAGCAUUUAUGUCUACAACAUUUUUCAGAGCAUUCUUAUUCCCAAAUUUUCUAUUAGUUCAAUUUGUAUUUGAUAACAGUUUCCAUCCAAAAAGGGCGUUGAGAUAGUGUAUAACAACUUAUUUUCUCAUCAUAUUCAAAUUAAAUAAAUAAGUACGAAAAAAUAUUUUUCCUUAUUUCAAAGCAUUAAAACAAAAUUUUUUGACACAAAUAAUCAUCAAUGACGAAAUGUACUAAUUAACGGAAGAUUGUAGAUAAGAAUUCGAUAAAAAAAUUAAUGAAAUAAUUACAACAACAAACAAAGAUUGAAGAUUUUAAUUGCAACUAAAAUAUAAUGUAAUAAAUAAAAAUUGUGAUGAUAAUAUAAUCACCGCCGUUUAUUAAUCAAUUAGGGAUGGCAAUUCGGAUUGCCAACUCGGGCACUUCGUAGCUCUGCCCGAAAAAAGCCCGACCCGACCCGUGUGGCUUGUUGUCUCAAGGUCACGGGCCUUAAAAUAAAAGACAAGAAAAGCGGCAAAAUGUUGCCAUUUAAAAGGCAGCAGUUUACUAUUAAAAAAAAUCGAGCCUACUUGGCUCGACCCGGCUCGAAAAGGCCCAGGCCAAAAACUAGGAUUGAGCCUAAAUUUUUGGUCGAGCAAAAGCUCGACUCAACUCGGCUCGGGCUCGGAAAAAAUCUGGCACCAUUUUACUCGAGUCGAGUCGAGCCCGCCUCUAGAGUUUUAGGUCACGAACCGACUCUACUCGGCCCAUUGACAUCCCUACAAUCAACGAAAAAUAGUUCUUUCUAAAUGGCAAAGGGCAAUGUUGACAUUUCAUGAGAAGGCGCCAUUUCAGGAAUCUACCCGACCCAUUAUCAUUUGCAAUGAUAGCGUCCCAUUAUUGUCUUAAACUAAGGGUGAUGCACGAAUUAUAGGACAUCCUUGAAGACUUGAAGUAAUGUGUAUUCAAUAAUAUUAUAUAAAACAAUGAUUAAAAUAUUAACCGUUUGAGCUAUAUUUUAUAAAAAAAAAAAUCAUUUUUUCAAAACAUACUUUUAAUCACACGUUUUCCAAUAAAAUAAUAUUACAUAUAAAUCAAAAACUAUUUCUUCAUUUUUAACCGUACAUUUUACAAAAAUCAACAUUCAAAAAUGCGUUUUCUCUCAAAAUGGAUGUAUUGUUAUAUGUUCAAUGUUAUCCAAUUCGACAUGUCUAACAAAUUAAUGAACUUCUAUCAAAAUUAGUUUUUAAAUUUUAUUUUUUGUAGGAUUGUUACAUCUCCAUGAGUAGUUUAUAUCCCAUCCUACGAUAAUUUUUUGACACCUCGACAUCUCUUGUUAAUAAAGGAUAAGAUGUCACAGUGUAAUGCAUUUAAGUGUCAAAUAAUGUGUUAUCAUCUUCUUGCUUGUUAAGAGAAGAUAUUAUGUUGAGAGGUAAAAAAAAUUAAUAAUGGGAUCAUAAAAAUAAAUAAAUCUAAACUUGCGACCCCACUUGCUUAGAGGUUCAACAAACGAACAAUAUCUCGUAUGCUACCGUGUGUCCUAAGGAGAUUUCCACAACAUGCUUGGUUAGGUAUAACUUCAUAGUCUGAGAAUCAACAACCACUCGUUUUCAUUUAACUAAAGAAAAUGAAACGACAUAAGCAUUUAAUCGGAAACGUCACACUGUAACAUUAGUUGCUUUUCUUAAAUAUUAUCAAACGAUAUUAGUUAUAAAAUAUUUUGCACAAAAAGUUGGCCAAGUCAAAAGCUAUUCCUAUAAGUAUUUUUAAUAAAUUAUAAGAAUCAUCAAAAUUGAAAACAUAUAUAUAUUAACCUUCCCGAAUCUAGUCGUAUAUUUAUAGCCUUUAAAAAAAUUACAAAAUUCAUUUGAAAAAAAAAAUAAAAAAAAUAGGGCACAAACAUGGACAAAAAGUCUUUGCGCAUCUUUGACACUUGUUUAUAAUCUAUAUGGGUCAAACUAAUUUUUAUUAACAAUGAUUAAUUAUUCAUUCUCCUGUGUUUCUAUCUCUAUUUAUAAUUUAAGGCCCGUUUGUUUUUUAUUAAUUUAAGAAUGAGAAUGAAAAAUAUAAUCGUUACAGGCUCCACACAAGAUAUAAAAAUUUAAAUAUGAUAGUUUGAUGUGAUAAAUUAUGAUCAUAUUUUUUAUUUUAAUAGUGAAAUAAUGGGAAACAAACAUGGACUAAAUAUAUUAUGAACAACUCUUAAACAUAUUUUAAAUCAACAUUGAUAGGUCAAAAGAAGAAAGGUAAUUGUGCAAUCGUUGGUUUGUUUUACUUCUCAAACAAAGUUAGGUGAAAGAAAAAAGGGCAAAAAAAAAUCUCGAGUAGAUUAGAUAACUGAGGAAAGGAUACAAAAGAUUUUAGAUUUCCCCAAAAAUAAAAAAUCCAAGUGAGCCUUCUGCUACAAUCUACAUCGUUUCUUCUUAGAAUCUUUGGCCCCAUACUUUUGCAUCACUCGGUUUGCCUUGCCAACUCAAACAAAGGUGAAUCCCUUUUUACUUGUUAAAAAGUAAAAAUUUUAUUGUCGGGCCCCCAUUAUUUACAAUUACUCUCACUUACAGGUCUUGGUUUGGUGGAAGAAGUGAGUCAUUCUUGUUGAUGGGUUUUGAUUUCUGACCCAAAAAUUGGAGCUUGUUUUGUUGAUGGAUUUUGCAGCGCAGAGAUUUCUGGCAGAAGGGUGUGCAUUGGGUUUUCUUGAUGUUUUUUGUUGUUCAUCUGGAAGUUCAAAGGAUUUGACAAAGUCUUCAUUUCGGUUCUGACUUUGAUACUGAUAUAAGGCUACUUUUUUGUUUUUGAAACAUUCUAAAUCUUUUUUGUCUCUGUUUAAUAGGUAUUAAGAAAUUGUGUAGUUGACAAUUAUUUUAUCAGAGGCGAGGUGGUUUCAUUUUCCUGAUUUGUAUGCUGAGUUAUUAUUUUUUCAUAUAGAUAGUCUAAAUUGACUGCAAUUGGGGAUUUUUAUUUGAAGAAUAUAGGAAAAAAGAGCACGUAACUUGGUGCUUUCUUGUUCUUACGUAUCACUUUUUAUUCCUCCACUUUCAUCUGCAUUUUGUCCCAGACAUUGGUUUUACUGGUUGGGUUUCUCGUUUUCUGAUUAAUGGAAAUUCUUUUGGGGGUUAUGUUGCUCUGAAUUGAAAGAGAGUGAGUUUUGAGGCGGCUAGAAAAUGGAUGUUUGGGUUGUUGCUGCAGCAGCUGGUGCUGGGUAUUUAGCUCAGCAUUUGAAGAAUCUUUCGCUGGGUAAACAUUAUUCGUCAGAUUUAUCUUCAGCUAAUGCUAAUUUUGAUAGAUCGGAACCUGUUGAAGACAAGCACUGCUCCUUCCGCAGUGUCUUAGGAAAAAAUAAGCUUGUGAAAGAUGGUUGCAGAGAAGAUACUAAGGUUUCUCAAGAGGCUUCAGCAGCGGAAAUGGCUUCUACAAGUGGGUUUGGAGGUGAAAAUACGGUAGAAUUGGAAAACCUAAUGAUUUGCUCUCCCAAUUCAAAUUUAUUACCGGUGGUUUUGAACAAUGAAGAUGUGCUAGAGGAUUGGGAAGGCAGAGGACAGAACAUUGAUGAGGUUCAUAGUGAUUUAUCAUGUCAACUAUCUGCAAGAGAAAUGAGUUUUUCUUAUGGCGUUGAGAGAAAGAGAAGUAGACUUAGAACUAGACGAACUAACAGACGAUUCAUAAAACCCUUAACAUCUCUUGAAAGUUGUCUCCUGGCUCAGUUAUACAAGGAGCAUUCGGAAAUUGAAGAAUACACCUUUAGUUCAACUCAUUCACCACGCAAACCAACUGUACGACCAUUCGUAGUUACUGAUGGGAGCAGAAUAAUCAGCAGGGCUUGUCAUGAAUCCUUUAAUUCUUCAACUGGAACAGGGAAAUAUAACUUGCACAAAAGUACUUAUUCACAAGAUGGGGAGGUUGUUCUAGGAAUUCCCGGACUACCUAAAUUUGCAUUAAUGAAGUGCCGUAAUAAAGCUAAAACUGGAAAGGAGAAGGUUGCAAGAUCGAGCAAUUCUAGUAGAAUGGUCAAAGGAAAUACCAAUAAUUCUCCUGAAGGUACUAAUCUUGCUCAUGUAUACUCUGUGUGGGGUGCUGUUAAACACACUGUUUAUUUUGUUGGGUGUGUUUUUGUUUUCUGUAAUUGAAGACAUUUUGCCACCACUAUAACCAUUUGAAAUUUUUUCUUGUGGAAACGUUUUGCUUUUGCCAUUGUGUGCUCAGACAGGUUGGUAAGUUAGACUUGAUUGCUUAUCAUGCUGAUAAAAUAUUUCUUGUCUAACAUUCUGUGUUUGAUUAGGAUCAUCUGGUGGAGCUCUUAAUUUCUAUCUUGGACUCUCUGUUGGAAUAAUAUCUUCUUUCUUGGCACAUAAAGGGGAAAUAGAAAAACUGAAUACCUUGUUAAGGCAGACUGAGAACCUGGUUCAAGAUCUGCAGGAAGAACUUGAGAUGAAAGAUUUGUUGACUAUGAAAGAACUCUCUGUAGAAAAUCAUGAAUCACAGGAUAUACACAAUGACUAUUACUACAAAGAGGCAGUGAAUGCAUUAUCCCCAGAACAGAAAGUGGACAACUCAACAGAGUAUUGUCGUGAAGAAUAUGGUGACCAGAACGUGAAGGAAAUAUCCUUGAGUAACAUUGAAUCAGAGCUUGAAGCUGAGCUGAAGAGGCUGGAAUUGAACAUGAGUUCAUCUAAGUUGGAAAAGAAAAUAUCUAAGUUAGCAGAGGUGAGUAUGUUGCACAAUCUUAUGUUUGCAUGUGCAUUGCCUUCCUCAUACAAACGCGUAUGAUUGAAUGACUUGAUGAUUUACUCACGUGCUUUUGGCUUUCAGCAUCCAUCAAUUACCACUGAGCUAAAUGUUGAUUUCAAUAUUCAUUGAGCAUUAAUUUAACAAUGUUUCGUGAAUGUUUUAUGUGAUAAGACUUAAGAGGUUGGGCUAAUGUGUAAAUUUUCACACUAUUAGCUGCCAGACACCUAGGGAUUCAGAGGGAUUCUUUAGCCAUUUUUCCUAUUCUAUUUAAUGUUCUAGAAUUUGUUCUUUCUCAUCUUUAUUGUAAGAUUACCUUUUCCUUUUUCUGUAAAAUAGCCAUUACUUGCAAAAUGUUGGGCUAAAAUCAAAACUAGGACUUUCUUCUUGAUGAUUAUUGCUGCUAAAACAUUUGCCACCUAAGUAAUCCAUAUCCAUUUACCCAUCACCGUCUUAUCAUUGUCAAAUAUCGAGUGGACCACUUAUCAUUGUAUUUCCACUCAAGCAUUUGUGUACCGGACAUGCAUUUAUAAUUUUAUCUCAUUGGCCACCUUCAUAUUUCCUUCUGAAUUCUCUUCAUAAGUUUUCCCCUAUUAUUUAAAUUUUUGGGUGUGCUAGCUUGUGAAUUCAAGAAACUGUGAUUUUUGACUGGUUAGAUAGUUAAAACUCUAGAGUAGGUCUUAACAAAUACAAGCUUCACUUUAAGUUUCUUAAGGUCUAAUUUUUUGUCAGAUUUUCUAUAUUCUUUAACUUAGGUUCUUAAAAUGUGAGACGUGUUUGUGCCUGGAGUGGAUUUGAUGCAAGUGUCAAGCUAAGCUUCUUUGGGUUCUCCAUUUAUUCUGUGUUACAGAAGUACUCAGUCAGAAUGGCCGUUUUCUCAUUCUUUUUGCAUGGUGGUUUUGAAGUGUAGAAUCUGGCCCUUUGUUUAAUUUUACAGCCCACCCCACGGUUAAGUUUUAUUGGUUUUACUUUCAAAUUCCACGCUUAUCUGUCUACUUUGGGUUGCUUGUUUACAGUAACACAGGUCCUUCAAGAUUCCUUGCUGAAAGGAUCUAUACGUAUCAUGAGUUGUUUGGAAGACAUUUUGUGAUUUUUAAUGGAAAGAAGAAAAGCAUGUGCUUAUAUGUGAUGUCUGGCUGGUAGUCCUCCCUGUUUUACAUCGAAAGUUGAAUCUUGUCAUUUCAUUUUUCCACAUAUGACCUUUGUUGGAUACAGUUUGAUGCCAUAUUAUUGAUGGAAACAUGCAGUAUAUAAAACUGUGUCAUGGUUUUAUUUUCUCUGGUUGAAUGACAUUGUAGGUUGACAAAGAUUUCAUAGCAGACGUUGUUGAGGGAGAGUUGAGAGGUGACUUGUUUGACAAACCUUAUGUUGAUCAGGAUGAAAAUGGUUGCUCGACCCCCUGCUCCAUUAACCAUGCGGUCUCCCCAAGAGAGCUGAGUUUGCGGUUACAUGAAGUCAUUCAAUCCCAACUUGAAGAACGUGUCAAGGAGCUCGAGACUGCACUUCAGAACAGUCAGAGGAAGAUGAAAUACGCUGAAUCCAAGAAUGCACCGUGUUGGAGCGAAUUUUCUAACAACGGAGCAGGAUCUUAUGAAGAGGCAUCCACAGACGAGCCUGCGAUUAUAAAUUUAUCGGGGGAAGCUCUAGCUGCAUACAAUGAGGCUUAUGACGAGUUUGUGAAGGUAACCGAGUCGGAUGAAGAGGACACGCCAUCUGGGCUCGAGGAUGGCAAUGAGCAAGAAAUAUUUCAGGAUGGGCAGCAGGUUCAUAAUGGCAGCUCAAACCAUUACACACGACAUUCGUUUGUUAAUGGAAGUCCACCAUUGUUACCGAAUCAUAGAAAAGACAUUGUGUACAGCACAGAUGAGAAUGAAGAUGAUGAAGAAGAGAUCGAGAGGAUGUUGAUAAGGCAAAUUGUAGAGAAAGCUAGGAAAGGCUCUCCUGUAAUUUUAAACGCUCAAAGAGCAUUGUUGUCAACUGAUGAAUACCAACAUUGAAAUAAAAGAAGAAAAGAAAGAGAAUUUCCAGAGAGGAAUUUCUAGCCUAUACUUAUUUUUCUUAAUUUUUUGAUCAAGAUAUAUAUUUGCUUACAUUACUUAAAACAGAAGUUGUACUUAAUAACUAAUGACUAUGGUCCCUUGUUACAGCUACUCCUAGUCGUGCCCUCAUUUUUGGCUUACCAUAUUCUCGAACCCCCCACCCAUUUCCUUUGGAAGGGACCAGUGAACUGUUUCAUUCUACCAUUUUGACAGAAAAUGCUCUUAAUAGACAGACAAAGAGGUAAAUCGAUAGAUGAAAAUGGUCCCACAGAUUUUAUGUGUAAAAGUUAGAAGGCUUUGUCAUUAAUGGGAGAGUAGCAACUAAUAAAACCACCGAAAUAUUUGGGAUUUCAAAAGGUAUAACAUAUAACAAGAAAUGUGCAAAAUGUGCAAUUUGCUAAACUAUCAUACUGUAGUGCCAGAAUAACUAAUAUAACGGUUGACAUAAUGCCAUUUAAUAUUAAACGGUUUAAAAUAGUCAUUUUUUUCAUGAAAUCAUUUUUAAUCCACAUAUGAAUCUAUCAACCCUUCUAUCAUAAUUCAUUAGGCAGAGUAGUUUAAUCCUAUGCCAAGCCCUCGGCAAACAAAAUGUAAAUAUCUCAUUCACGCUCAAGAUUCCCAAUUAAUUUUAACUCAGUCCCCUCUUGAUAGCAAUUUUUCACCCCAAAAGAUUAAUUUUCUAACCGUUAUUUCACCAUUCCAACAAUCAUUUUUAAUUUCUUCACUCACAGAUGAGAUUCAAUUUUCUCUUUAAUGGUCAAAAAAUCAAUUUUUAUAAUCACUACCGAACAGACUCUUAUUCUUAUCAUUGCAAAACUGGACAAGUACAAGAUUUUAGGCUACAAUUUAAAACCUCACUACACAACUUCCUGAAGCGAGUUGCCUCGUGAGCGUCCUUUAGCCUUCAGGAAAACGUGCCAUGUUAAGACCUAACUUUUUAUUUAAAAAAAAAAAAAAAAAANNNNNNNNNNNNNNNNNNNNNNNNNNNNNNNNNNNNNNNNNNNNNNNNNNNNNNNNNNNNNNNNNNNNNNNNNNNNNNNNNNNNNNNNNNNNNNNNNNNNNNNNNNNNNNNNNNNNNNNNNNNNNNACCAGUCCUGUCAUUUGCAUAAGCCACCCUUACUCUACGACCGUGAAGAUCCUAAAGGAAUUUCACAAUGAAAUAUCAGUCAAAAUGUAUGACCAAAUAAAAUCAAGCCAAACCCCAAGAACGUCUACUAUACAACGUGGGGUUUAACCUUUUCCAGUCGAAAAGAAAAAUUGAAGAAAAUAAAUAAGUAACAAGUUGAGGAUACCUGUUGAUCCAAGGCCUGGAUGGCAGCAGAUGCAUCCUCAACAGUAGAAAAUGUAACAAAGCCAAAUCCUCUAGAUCUGCCAGUAUCACGAUCAACAAUCACCCUUGCUACAAGAAAUAUCAGGUUUUUCAGCAUCAUUUGAAGUUAGUUUUCAACUUUCUAUUCCACUUAACUCCCAAAACAAGGAUAAUCAAUUCGAGAUAAAUGAUUGUCCGCUAAACAAGAGAAAUAUAUUUUAAAGAUUCUCCAACUUGUUUAACAUUCAUCUUUAAGUAUCAAAAUGUAAAGAGUAAUUGCUGCAACAGAUAAAUUUGCAAUUCAGUCCAACAACAUAGUUCUAUAACAAACAUUAUUACCUUUCCUUUAACAAAGUCAUAAGAAUAAUUUCAUGCCUGUGCAGCUGUGCCAACGUCAAGAAACGUGCAUGAGGUGAUUGCAAAUUGUAAUUCUCUAAAAUUAACCAUUCAAAGAAAUAAAAUGAUCACCGAAAAACAAUACACACCUACACGUGUAAGCACUAGUGGUAUUUAAGUAAAACACCAAUGUAUACAAGUUACAACAUAAAUAAAUUGGAUUAUAUAAACACUCAAGUCCACUCAGAAUCCUUUCAGUUUCAGUUAAAUGGUAUUCUGCAAAAAUAUGAUUUUACAGAACAUAAGUUUUAUUAAUUUAUCAAAACAUAAGAAACUGUGUUAUUUAGGACUAGGAACUAAUAAAGAAGCAAAAUUUAAUUAUUCUUACAUGUCACCAAUUAACCUUUUUGAGAAGGGUUUAACUUUUUCAAUAAGUAUACAGCGCUUAUAUUUCAUUCAAUUAUCUAUUUAAAGACAAGCAACUACCAAACAUGUAAAGUGUUAACAUCGAACAUAUAAAGAUAGAAGGAUCAAUGAUGCUUCUAAUAAUUUUCUUCAAUACCCAUGACAUGAAUGGCACAAAUUAUGUCAAACGAACACACCAUCAUCAAUAACAAUCUGGCUACGCAUAAGUACCUUCAGCAACUUCUCCAUACUUACUAAAAGCCUCUGUCAGACCUGAGUCAUCUGUGCCGAAUGAGAGUCCUGCAAAAGCCAACAGAAUGUGAAUACUAAUCUAAAACCCCCAUAAUUUCAAAAUAAGUAUUAUGAACAGAAUAUUGUACCUCCAAUAAAGAUUUUUGAGGUUGACAUGCAUCUUAUUGCUUGAAAGACGGAGGAUUGGGAUGCUGAGAUUUCCUGACUGAUGCGAUUACUCACAGUCCGGCUUAGUAUAUUACCAGCUUUUCUAAGGAAGGCCAUUGCUCAGACCUAAAAAUGGAAUCAACAUUGCCUAAGAAAUACAAUAUACAGAGAAUCUCUGCCAACCUAAUUUAGAUUCAGAAUUCUCAAGGACAAAUACUAUUUUUCAGUUCUGAAAGAUUAGGCAAUAGAGCAAGAUGAGCACAUGAUUAACGUAACAACCAGACUCAGGAAGAACAUAUAUACGAGAUUCUGUUUUUCAUCUUUUCAACAUAUAAAAUCUCAAAAAGAGCGUUCUUUUUAUUCUGGGGGAAAAAAAAAUUGAAGAACCAGAAAGAAAAAAAAGGGAGGAUAUUGUUUACAAAAACGUAUUCAUCUACUUGCAUUUCAUGUUUAAGUUCCAAUUACUUGCUCAAUUCUCCGUACAGUACUUGAGCAAAUUCAAAUAUAGAAAUCUACCCUUAUUUUAAAAUUUCCGCUUGACAAGGCCUUAUAUAGCGUAUUUUUGCACUUAAAAAGUUUCACAUAUUCACAGGUGCAGGCAAAUAUAUAGUAUUAUUACACAAAUAUCACAAAAACAAGAAUAUAAGUACCAGAAUAUUAAUAACUUUGUUUUAUGUUAUUUUUUAAGAUAUUACAGAGACAACCUAUUUCAUAACAAAAAUGUAAACUUCAAAAUACAUAAAAGACUACUCACCAGUAAUCAUAAGCACAGUCAAUUUCAUAAUCAAACCGAAAAUAGUCACUGCAAUAUCACUAAAAAGAACAUAUCCGAAAACAUACAACAUUGAAUAGCAUAGUGACAAUCAAGUAAGGAUAGGGAAAAUCUUACCUUUUGAUGUGCUGUAUCUAAAACCCUAGAGAAUGACGAGGGUUUACCGAGGACAGAGAAAAUGGAAUUAGGGUUUAUACGCGAUGGUAUGUAUAAGAAUGAAAUGAAUGAAUGAAUUUCCAACGUUGAUCUUUCACCAAGAGAUGUGGACCGUUAGAUAGAUAUUUCCUCUAUAUAUGGAACUGGGACUUGGGCCGGGUCGAAUGAAUGAUAUUACCGUCAUUUGACUCAUCAAAAUUUAGACAUUAGCAUAUUUAUUUCAAAAUAUCGAUUUAACAUAUAUUUUUUUUGCAAAACAUGAAGGAAGGUGAGUAUACAAGAAAGAAUUACUUAUACCAAAAAAUGUAAAAGGUGUAUAACUUUCUAUUUAAGCAAUUUAUGUACAUACAGAUAAUUUGAUUCCUUUUCAUAUAGUAAGUCGAGACGAUCCAUUCAAUCUCCCACCACUAUAAGAAUUUACUAGAGGCAAGGCGUGGAUCAUGCAACUAGGGGUGGAGCCAUGUACAUUUCAGUGCACUCAACUUUGGGCUGUCCCAGUUAAAGAAUUAUGUAAGAAAGAGUGAUUGGGAGAAAAGUUGGUCGGAGAAAUAGUAGUUGGAAGAAAAAUUACUAAACUGAUUGCCAUUGUUUUCUUUUUAUAAAAGGCCUAGUGAAAGAUCUUGGUUAACUAAUCUGGUUCCUAAACAACUUUUAUAGGCUUUUUACGAGUCACUUUGUUAUAAAGAGAAUUUUUUUACACUUCAAAUUUAAUAAAAAAUUUUGCCUGCACUGAAAAAUUUUUCUGGCUCGCUCCUACAUGCAACGUGGAUAAAAUAUCCUCAUCUACUUUCUUUGUUACUUAUUUAUUUGUUUUAAUUUUUUAAAAUUCGAUUUAAAUUUAAAUGAAGAAAAAUAAUGUAAUAAAAACAAGAAGUCAAGAACCAAGGUAGGAAUGGUAAUGAGUAAAAUGAGUGUAAUCAUUAAAAAAAAAAAGAAAAAAGAAAAAAAGAAAAAGAAAAAGAGUAUAAUUGAUUAUUAAUUAUUUUUUUUAGGAAAGUGCAGAAAAUAAAUAUUUUUUCAAUAGGAUAGUGUUCUAAUUGAGGAAAAUUAAGAAGUGUGUCCUUUAUACUUUUAGGGAAAAGGUCCAAAACCUUUCAAAAGCGAGUAAAUUAUGUUUAAAUCUUUUAAUCGUCGAAAAUAAUCUCCAAACCUUUCAAAAAUGUACGACAAAGAGACCUCCUAAUGAUUUUUCGUCCAAAAAUUUUUUAGUUGACCAUAACCAAUCCAAUGAAGGGAAAAAAAAAUCUCGUUACCUUUUUCAAAAAAAAAAAAAAUACUCAUCUUCUUUCCCCUCCCAUCCAAGCCAAUCCAAUCAAGCCAACCCACAGGACACAUCUUCUAGUGGUAAAAAGGGAGGGUGGAAAAAUCCAACUUUGCUUGAGGCUGUUAGGUUAAGGGUUUGAAUCCUGAAAUAUGGAUUUGGCUCUUGGGUAAGUGCAAGUGUACAAGCAGCCUUCCACCCUCUACCCUUAGAGGCAUAAUCUGCGAUUUACCUCCCUCACGAUACUCCAGGACAGGCGCGGUGGGAGACUGGGUUCAACCUUUUUUCAAUCCAAUCAAACCAAAUUCACCUGCUCCACGCUACUUUUUACUGUUUAAUUUUAUCAUCCUCCCACAGCCAACAAUAGAGGAAUAAAUUGCAUCCAACUUGGGAAUACAAUGCCACCGCCAUUUAUACGACCCUAAUUGACCAUAAAAACCCAUCUAAAAAUUCAACAAAUGGCUCUCAUUUCAUCUUCCACACUAUUUGCUUCAUUUCAUCUUCCAUGAUAUAUGUUGCAGAAUGUGAAAUUUCAAGAAUUUCAUGUGCGAAACUCAGCUGAUUUCGGCAUAUGAAAUUGGGACUCGAUGGAGGCGGUGGUAGUGGCGGGCGUAGGUGGGGUAGCAUGGUCGAAAAGAAGAUGACGAAAUUACUAUUUUAAUUUCUCCUCUGUUCCCCUCUCUUUAUAUAUAUUUAGAGGUCUUCCUGUCGCACAUUUUCUGAAAGUGUUGGGGCUAUCUAAUGCAAUUUAAAAGUUUGGGUGUAAUUUUGCAUUAUUUUGAAAUGUUUGAAAUUUCUACCAUAAAUUUUCCUACUUUUUAUUUACUUUUUGAUGAAUAUAUAGUUUUCCAAAAAAAUUUGCUAAGUGUACAUCCUUUGGGACAAUAUCAAUAAUAUUUCUACUUAUUUUAAAGUAUCUUUAAGAGACUCUAUUUUUAAAGAGUAUAUUCUAUUAUUUAGAGUGCAUUUAUAAAUUUAGAGAAUUAAAAUUUUAAAAUACUAUAAUCACCUCUUUAUAUUUAACACUUAAUUUUACAACUCUCCAAAAAUAUUUAUUAUUUUUAUCUAUUUAUUAUUUUAACUAGCUUUUCUUUAAAUUAUUUUAUUAUUUUCCUACACUGAAAAUUGAAACAAUUUGAAUGCAUUUAAUUAUAGAGAGACCUACUCUCUAACUUAAAAUUCAUAGUCAAUUAUUUUAAGGAGGAAUAACAAUUAAUUUUAAUUAAACAAAAUAAAAAAAUGAAUGAAAAUAUAAACAAGUUAUUGUACACAAAAAUUAUCAUAGUCUACCUAAAUGCCACAUCAGCCAGAAAAAGGACCUCAUUGCUUGUUCACGUCAUGUAAUCCUUAUUUAUGCCUCGAUCACCGUGGCCAGAGAUGGCCUGAGGUCGUGCAAGUUGAGCGACCGCACAAAGCCUUAACAUUAUAGGGACACCAAAUUUAUAUAUAUGUUGAAGAACAUAUUUAUAAUGGUACAUAUUUUUUAUUAAUUUUAAGAUUUAAAAUUUUUAUUAUUAUAUAAAGUUAAAGGGCACAAUACUUACCAAAAAUGAUCUCGGACAUAAACGAGACAUCUCAGUUCUCACUGUGAAUUCUACUAGCGUAGGUGAAACAUCUAACUCUAAGAAAACCAAAAAUAAGCAUAUGCUCGGUAUAAGUCGUCUUAACAAUUCAAUUACCCUACUGUAUACGGGAUGUGGCAGAGUAAAAACUCUACAGCUAUAAACACAAGUUUGGACUGCAAAUAAUUUUAGACAGAAUUUUAAGACAAAUUCAUCACAUUAUUUUACUAAUUACAACAGAAGGAAAGAGAGAAAUACUGUUUAAAAUUGUCGCCUCCUUCAUCCGGGAUGUUUCAACGACUUCUGUGAAUUAUCAAGCAGAUCCAAGAUGUAAGAUUCCAAGUCAUGUACAGUGUACUUAAGGUACUUUUCACCAAUAGAAUUGGUAAUGUUGCCAACAAAGUUACGGUAUGCAGGAAUAACUCUCUGUGAAAUCGAGAUCCUUAACUCUUCGCGAAGUUUAAGGUUAGGGACGUACCAUGCUGUCUGUAUCUUAUACACAUCCUCAAAAGCAAUACUGAAAUCCCGGCAUCUCUCUUUUAGAGUUGCCUUUCCGGUUUUCCCAUCGUCCCUUAUCCUUAUCAAGCUAAGAAUAGAGUUCCACGUGAAUCUCUCAUAGCUCAUAGCAUGCCGCCGGUAUUUUGCAAUAUGUUCACGAAUCCAUUCAUCACCGAAAUAUCUCCUGACUUCGGAGCUCUUGAUCUUAUCGUACAUGUAAUGGAUGUUAUUCAUCACAAAUAUAUACUUUAAAGAAGUAUUUAUGUAUAGAUUGGAGUUAAUGUCAAGGUUGGCUUCUAGAAUUGAUGUCACCGACUGCAGGUGAACAGCUACUGGGCAAGAGAUAGUCGUCUGCCCAAUGUUUUCAUUAGAACCCAUAUCCAAAUUUACCCCAUCUUUCUCUGCAAGAAGCAAAUUGAGGGUAUCACCAUACUCUACAAGACACAGGAUGUAGUUCACUACAUACUUGGUUAGGGGGUGGAUGCCACCAUUUGCAAAAGGUGUUCUAGAAGCACGAGAGGCAAUGUGGUUGCCGAACUCCAUAAAGAUGGCCUUUGCAGAAUCCCCAAGUCUCCUCAAAAGAUCGUGAAAUUCGAUCCUAAUGGAACGCCCAGCCUCUUCUGGAAACAGAGAUUCUACAUCUGAAAUUAGAGAAGCUAAAACCUCGUACAUAUCGAGUAAGCAAUAAAGCCGUUCUGGUCGAUGUGGUCCAAUUGCAACAGCAUGGCCAAAGUUCAACAGGCAUAAGAGAGAAACCUUCGAAGCCUCAACUAAGCUAGUCGAACUAAUAGUUCCAUAUUCUCCCAGAACUUGGUCGAAUAAGCGUUUCUCACUAGCAAGAUAGAUCCCAACAACAUUCUUUAUUGCUCGACGCCAUUUCCUGAUUCUGGAGUUCAAACAUUUCCACUCCAUUUUCAGCACAUCCUCAACGCUGAAUUGUUCCACAUUCAAAAUCAUCAUAUGCUUAGCCAAUUCAUCUCUCCAGAAUCGAACAAAAGCCUGACAAAAUUCAUGAUCAUAAUGUGAAGCAAACAUAAUGUUUGCUAUAGACGCGAUUUUAGGAAUGACAUCUGGAUGGACCAAAUCCAUUACAUAUUCCUCAGUUUCUGUGCUGCUGCUCUCCCUCUGAGACAUAUCCUCUUGCACUGAAUCUCCCCCAUUCGAAACAACUGAUUCCUCGUAUACAGAAUUUUCUUCACAAGUGGGGUAGAACAUGUAUUCUUGCUCAAAAUGUUGUUUACUCUGAGCAAGAAUAUGGACCAGUUCGUCUUGGAGCCUUGUCAUUGCAAUCUGCAAUGUACAUUGAGCUCGAUCCAACAGGUCCCUCUGUUUCCAAGUUUUCUUGGAGGGGUAACUUUCUAAAGUUUCUAUCAACCUCCGAACCUCAUCAACAGCCUGCAAAUAUUCUGAAACUAUCGCGGGACUGGAAUUCCAAAUCCUCAAGUGAUUUGAAUGCAAUCCCGUGAUCUUUUCCUGAGAUGACCGGAGCCUAUUCUCAAUGUCUCUAGUCUUCUCGACCUCAUUCUCACCGACUGUGGUCAUCGUGGACAAGUGAGCGUCAAGAUCUGCCAGAAGUCUUCUCACAUCAUUACUGAAAUUCAAAUUCUUAGUAGCCUCAAGCGCCUUCACCACGUGAUAGGCUGCAGCAAUCACGUGUUCUUCCGCAUCACCCAUUUUCAAGAAUAUUCUCAAAUGACCCAACAAAAAUUGUAGAACAAGAACACCUUUUUUUGUUGGAUGAUAGCAAAACAAAUUGAUUUUAAGGCUUACAGGUCUUCAGUCAAUACUAGCUUGAAUGCAGAAACACGUGAAUAAGAAGACCAAAAAGACUCCUAAUAAUUUCCAAUCUAAACCGUAAAUCUCACUCAAAUUUUGAAGAAACAAAGACCAUUCCAAUUUGAACAAAUCAAUGAAUAAUAAUAACAAUAUUGAAAAAAAAAAUGAAGAAGAAGAAGUUCAGGGUUUCUUCCUCUUUAACCCUUUAGUGUUCAUCAUACUAACACACUGAUCAAAUUAAACACAAACUGUGAUUUCCACAAAAAUUUCAAAGUACAAAAGCUAACAAUCAUCUAAUCACAACCCAUUAAAGCAAAUACGAUUACAGGAAGUAAAUAUGUAAAUUAAAAACGAAGAUUAAGAGAUAAACUUUAAACCUCAAGAAUUUGGCUUGUUUCUUGAACUUCCAUGAAUUAGAACGAUCACACAAAAUCAACAACUGGGACACAGAGAAAGGCCAAGAAAAGGUAUAAAGAAACUUCUUACGCGUUUUCCUAGAAAACGAGAUUUUUCUAAUAAAAAAUAGGGCGCAAGUACUAUGAGUGGUAGAUGAUUUGACAAGCGGCUCCUUAAAGUGGACGAAUAUGCAUGGUGUAACAUCAAAAGCAUUUUCUUUGUAAUUACUUGUAUGAAUUGUUUAAUAAUUGUUACCAUGACUUAUGUGGGAGACCAAAAUUAUAGUAGAAAAGGACCCUCAUUUUAAUUUCUUGCAAUUGACUCUUGAUUGGCAAGCAAAGUUCUUGACCACCAAGUUUAGAGGUGCAUUAAAAGAUGUACGAAUAAUUGUAUUUUUAGGCCCUGUUUGAGCCCAUUAUUUUUUAAUUAAAAUGAAAAAUAUGAUCGUUAUCCAUCACAUCAAGUCACCAUAUUUAACUUUUUAUCUCUUGUGUGGAAUCCAUAACGACUAUAUUUUUCAUUCUCAUUUUUAAAAUAAUGUGGCUCAAACAGGGCUUAAUCUAUUUAUUUUGCAAGAAUUUUAUUUUUUAAUUUUACAUCCAAACGAAUAAUUUGAUUAAUUUAAAUCAUUGUUAAUUGCAAUAAAUUCAACUAAUAGAAUUGGUAAACAAGCAUGAGUUGCGGUGUUGGGACCGAUGAAGACAAUGCAAGAAUUGAGAUUUGAUUAACCCAAUAUGAAGUAUAAAUAAAGAUCACAAAAUAACCAAGAACAAAAUUAAAGUAAAAGAUGCAAAAUAAAAGGAAACUGGCAGAGGAAUGAUGUUAUUUUAUUCAAUCACUAUGAAAGGAGAGAAUUACAGCAAUUGGCUUAAACUAAAUUGAAAGAAAAGCCACGUAUUUAUAGUACACGAGUCAAAUGUUAAAACUAGGAAAAAAAUCACGUAAAAGAAAAGGACGUGUCACGCGUCCAACAAUUUUCUUUCCUUUCUUUACGGUUUCAAAUUGUUCCAUUCCUAAUCUUGGAUUCCAAUUGAUUCUUUCCAUAUUUCUUGAAUCCUAUUGAUUAUUUCCUAAAAUCAAAUGGCUCCAACAAGAUUUCUUUCCAAAAUCCAAGAUUGUCAAAUUUCGAGACACAUAUUUAACAAUCUCCACCUUGAUUUGAGAUUCCUGUGCAACGAACGAUGCUCCAAAUUUCUCCACCUUGAGAAAUGAUCCGUCUGGAUCAGAAUAACCAAGCUCCUCAACACAGUAACCAAACUCUCCACGAAAACACGUUCCCUCGCCCGGUGUCCACAUGCGACACUCGAAACCAAACUCGGGUUCCCAAAAUUCACCUGAAAUUAAUAAUCACUAAACAGGGUCGAAGCACACCCUGUAACAAAAACCACACCAAAUGCACGAUCAGAAGGCCCCUUGUUAGAACUGUCACCUUCAAUGAUCCCUAAGGCAUUACAGACAUUAUUGACACCACUAAACCUACGCUCCAUGAGUCCACCAGCACAAGAACAAAGUGUAUCUACUGAAAUUGGUGGCAAAGCAGAAUCACCAACACUCCCACGAGCAAAGUUCGAAACUGGCCCAGAGCCUAACACAAUAGGUAAUGUACCAAACUGAAUUUCCACCACGGUACUAAACUUGUUCAAAUGUCUCUGAACUGGUUCUGCGCUUCCCUGCAAAAUGUACAACUGGGAUCUCAUCCGUCCCUCCAGUACAACCCGAACACCUUUCUGAACUUUCAGAACUCCACCUCCACCAGAAAAUUUAUACCCUUUUGCAUCCAGGGUACUCAGCGAUAUGAGAUUCUUUGUCAAGUUUGGAACAUGGUGAACCUGAUCAAGUGUCCUCACUGUCCCAUCUUAUAGCCUCAAUCUGACCCGACCGAUUACGGCAACCCGACAAGAUUGGUUGUUUCCCAUGACAACUUUACAUUGCUUCACCGCCUCAUAUGUCUAGAAUAACGCCCUAUUGGAACACAUAUGAUACAAACAUGCAGAAUCCAGAAUCCACUUCUCAGGUUUGGAUUCCCCAUCAAAUAUAGCCAACAUCACAUCUCCAACAUCAGAAAUUUUUUUAACUACAUUGGUUUCGUCCGAAUUACAAGAUUGCCCCGAAUGAUUUGCAUGUAAAUUACAUUUACCCUGCAACUUGUCGCAAUCUUUCUUGAUGUGUCCUUUCUUCUUGUAAUAAUAACAAUACACAUUGAUGUACCUCACAUUCGACCUACCCCUCCGUCGAUCACAAUGAGUAACAAGAGCAUCCCCACUCCUAGAUGUAGGAUCUCCAACUAACAGCUUCAUCCUCUCCUUUGAGAACAAGGCUUCAUAUACCUCCUCAAUGGUAAGCGUGUCACGACUAUACAUAAUAGUAUCACGAAACGACGAAAAAAAUUGGGUAGCAAACACAACAGGAUCAAGGCCAGAUCCUCUUCAUCAUAUUUUACCUCCAACGUCUCCAGAUCUGCAACGAUUUCCUUGAACAUAGCAAGAUGGUCCUGCAGUGACCCUCCUUCCGCCAUGCGAUGGGAACACAACUUUUGCUUUAGAGUCAGCUUGCUCGUCAUACUCUUUGUCAUGUACAACUGCUCCAGCUUGAGCCACAAAGCAACUGCUGUCUUCUCCUUUAAGACAUCUUGCAGUAUAUUGUUGGACAAAUGAAGAUGAAUCAAUGAUGUAGCCUUCCUAUCCUUCCGUUGCUUCUCCUCCAUACGCCAAUUUGCUGGCAUCUUCUCAAAGCUCAGCAAAGCAUCAUCAAGUUCCAUCUGCGUCAACCCAACCCUCAUCUUUACUUGCCACAGCGAAAACCUUAUAUUGCGAUCCAGCAGCGGGAUAUCAUACUUCAUCGAAGCCAUCUCUGAAAACUUCAAUCAAAUCACGAAGAACUUGCAACCUUGCUCUAAUACCACUUGUUGGGAUCGAUGAAGACAACGCAAGAAUUGAGAUUUGAUGAACCUAAUAUGAAGUAUAAAUAAAGAUCACAAAAUAACCAAAAACAAGAUUAAAGUAAAAGAUGCAAAUUAAAAGGGAACUGGCAGAUGAGCGAUAUUAUUUUAUUCAAUCACUAUGAAAUGAGAGAAUUACAGUAAUCAACUUAAACUAAAUUAAAAGAGGAGCCACGUAUUUAUAGUACACGAGUCAAACGCUAAAACUAGGAAAAAAAUAUAAAAUUAAAAAAAAUCACGUAAAGAAAAUCACGUAAAAGAAAAAAACGUGUCACAUGUCCAACAAUUUUCUUUCCUUUCUUCACGGUUUCAAAUUGUUUCCUUCCUAAUCUUGGAUUCCAAUUGAUUCUUUCCAUAUUUCUUGAAUCCUAUUGAUUAUUUCCUAAAAUAAUUUGGCUCCAACAAGAUUUCUUUUCAAAACCCAAGAUUGUCAAAUUCUUGCCAAAUUUCGAAACACAUAUUUAACAGCAAGUAUAUGUGUUGCCUCAUAACAUGGAAUCAAACAAUAAGUAUGAUUGCAGACAUUAUAAUCCACGUAAUAAAGCUUCUCCAUCAAAUACAUCUGUCAUAUUUGAUACAAUAAUAUUCGACCUCAAAUUUUCCAUUAUACAAAAAGAAUCACUUUUUACAAUAUACUAUUUUAAAAUAUAGUCCCGCUACACGAACAGGGAUUGAGAACAGGAUUAAGUUCCAGACUGAUGUGGCAACAUUUGAAAAAAAAUAAUAAUAAAUUGCUUAUUGUUCGCACGUGAGGCACCAUUGGUUUUCCAUUUCCAUUUCCCCCAAAUAUUACCCCUUCCAUCUUCACCCAUUUCAACGCUCAAUCGGAGAUGACGUCGUGACUCCGGCAGCACUUCCACCGGCGAUUUCGCCACACCUCGGUGGAAGGUUUAGUCGUCGCUCCAACAGCUCAUUCGUGAAAGGUUUCGCCAACACACACAUGAAGAUCUCUGACCGUCGACGAACAUCAAACCACAUCUAAGAAUCUUGUUUUCUUUAGGGUUGUGUUCAAUGCAGUUGAAUUUUGGGUGCAAUACUUGAGAAGUGGGGUCUUUUUGAGUUUGUUGGCUGUUGAAUAUCUCUGAACAUUUAUUGAUUUGUACGCUUAUUUGCUUGAACUGAUAUGCUAGAGUGAAGUAUGUUUAUCUUCACACAGUAAGACAAGAUGGUAUGCAGUGGGCAUAAAGGAGGUUCACAUUUACAAGUGAGGAGGCUCCCAAGAACAUCAGUGUGCUUGUUUAUUUGGUGAAAACUUAAAAGAGGCAUAUUCAAAGAGAGUCAAACUUCACCAGUUUAAUAUUAGAAUGGAAGAUUGCUCUUUGUUAAUGGUCUACAGCUUUAAGAGUAUGGUUUUGAGAUAACAUCUCUAACUGUAAAAAUGAUGAUAAUUUCCAAAAAUAAGAACUCAAUUAGUUCCAAUAGUACAUGGCUAAAACACGAACCCAAUGCACAGACUCAUUUACAAAAAUUUCUACAAGAUUCAUUUUCAAACAAUAGCAUCCAAACAACUAUAAAAGUUUAGAAUACUAAGAACCGUGCAUUCCCAGUUAUACAACAGAAUCACCAUGUUUAGCCAGAGGUUGAGAUCGAAGCUGCCUUAAUGUUGGCAGUGACGGUGAAACGCCGUCAAGUGUGGUUCGAAAGUCGACGAUUAAACUUGCACAAUCGACAAAGGAAUUCGGCGGCGAAAAGACUAGCAUCAAGGUUGGAAUUUCAGUAACCUAGCAGGAAGAGCAGCUAUCGAGAUCGGAUGUCCAGUCGCUUUGCCGUUUCAAGGAUUUGAGCAGGGAGGUUUCACCUUGCAGAUGUUGGAGAAUUGGAGGAAAAGUAUUUUAGUAUUUGUUGAAUUAUUUGUCCAACUUUUUUCCACACACGUGCUGGCCGUGUCCAUUUCCC